CACGCGGCGCUGCCCGGUUCACACACCGCCCAGCGGCACAGGUGGUGUGCGGUGGGUGGUGGAUGGGUCGUGAGGCCAGGGGGGAACUUUGGCUUUGUCCGAUGCGGUUAAUUUUGAGUCGGAUCGAAUUCGUGCAGGACUGCGGGUGCAGUAUGUCCUUUCGCAAUUUCGUUUUUCCCCAUAGAACAAUUCGAACUAGUUUAGCCUGUGGCUCAGUUCCAGAGAGAUUCGGCACAUGUCGAACGUGUAGCUCAAUAUGUAUCGCGCAAUUGCUGUAGUUUGGUCGAUUAAAAACAAAACGCUCCACUCGAGGGAAACAAAAAGCCUUUGACAGUUUGGAAGCAGAACUUGGUUAAGUUUCUGCUCGGAGUGCCGUCGAUGGGCGAGCCAGUUUACAAAGAUUGUGAAAUUUAUUUAUUUUUCUAGGGAAAGAAUGGGAGAUUAUGAACUUCUAUUCUUUUUUAGAACAAUUAUGAACUUCUAUAGGCGGAGCAUCACGCGCGCUGACGAAGAGUUAGCACGGGCCAUGCAUGGGCCUGGGUCCGCCUGACGCAAAAUCUCGUGCUGACAAAGGCGUACGUUGCAGGCCUGCACCGAUUUGGCGGCACUGGACCGGGCCGUGGAUGGCACCACGAGAACAGAGAAAACGAGAGGGUGGGAGCGAAUUCUAUGGGAUGGCGCAGUGGGCCUUAGGCCUAUCCUGAUAGGCCCAGUUCCCAUCAGAAUUCUUCUGUUCUUCCACUAAAGAAAUUUUCAGCGCACACCGUGCUAAAAAAGACUAUCCCUGUCCUCCGACCAUUUGCUGUUACCACCUUCGACGGUUUUUUCCGCCUCCAAUAAUCAACUGGUGUUAGAAAGUGAGGAAAUCACAAAUUAGCGUCCCGCAGGUAUUGUUUAUAAGUUUAAUAAGAGUAUAUUUUCUAUCAACGGAGACGUAUCCUCGUUCAGUAAAUCUUACAAACCUUCGCCGCAUACAAUUGAGUUAAAAACGCACGGGUUCGAUUAAAGGUGGAAAUCACACCAACCACUUGCAAAUUUCUGCACAUAACCCUGUACCGUUGAGUCUCUUCUACCGUUAAGUCUAAGAGACUGGUGGGGUUCUCACUUUUGAUUCGGCUCGUUUUUUUUAAUCCAAUGGCCUGCAAGAAUAAUUUGCACCUAAAUGUAGGUUUUCAUAGGAUACGUCACCUUUCAUCAGGUUGGUAUGUUUUUAAUGAUGAUGUAUCGGCAAUCCACAAAAUAAUAUUCUCUUGGUUUCAUCAUCAUUUGGCGUGAUCUUCACUGUUCAUGGUCUAUUAUAUAUUUAUAUGGAAUCAGUGGUUCUCAUGGCUGUAUUCUUCUAAUUUUGGGCUUAUUUUCAGCGUUUCAACAACGGGUGAACCAUUUGACGGGUUGUGUUGCAAAGAGUAUGUUCCGAGCAAGUAUACGUUCGACGAUGCUAGAUCCUCACUUUCAAGGUGCGCGACUCAUGCGUCUCUUCAAAAUCUCCAUGGAGUCAACUUAGCUUUUGCAAGCUCGAUAUUAUACAAUUUCGUCACGGCAUGCAUGGAAUACCGUCAAAGUCACAAUGGACAUAUCUAGAGACUUUAGAGAAACGAAGCUUUUGGAAUUAUCUGACAUUUUUGUUGCUAUUUAUAAUUUCAAGAGCUUUGAUUUAUUGCAAUUUGUCUAAUGAACCAAUAAAGUUGGCGGAUUUGCUAGGGAUCAGGCGCCUGAGAAAUGAUUUUUCUCAGUCGAUGUGAUACGAUAGAUUUGUAAUAACUAAAUCCAGAUAGAAAGGGUUAGUUGGAGUGGUGGUUUGUGUGUGCUAGACCCUGCAGGAGGUUGCACGUUCGAGUCUUUUGUUCUCGUUUUUCUGUUUCUUUUUUCUACUUUUGGUUUUAAUCAUAAAUUUGUUUCGUUUUUGUCUGAUUUUUAUAUCUCUUGACUUUUCUUUGUUUUCAAGUUUAUAUAUGUGCACUAACUUAAAACAGUAGUAUAGGAUAAUCUGUACAUUUAUUUUAUUUUCUCGCGUCUCGAUUUCUUUUGGACGAGUUGAAAUUCCGUGAAACUUUUAGAUUGCACAUAAAAUUUCAGUGCAAAUUUUAAAAAUUAUAAAAAAUUCACCUGCAAUAAAAUUUCAAGUGCAUUUUUAAAUUUUGAUUUUUGUUACCAUGUGCAAAUUUUGAAAUUGCACAUAAAUUUUCAGUGCAAUUUUAAAAAUUUCCCAACUAUAAGUUUCUCGAUUGCAUGAGAAUUUCAACCGUAAUUUUUUAAAUUGCACAAUGGUUUAUGAUUUUUCCAAUUUCAUUGGAAUUUUAAAGUUUUUGUUUCGGAGCUACAGGAGUGCCUAUGUUGUCCUGGAAAUAAAACUCUUAGCUAAGUCUAAACUACUUUAUGAUUCAGGUGGAACAACACAAACUCAGAAAAAGAAAAAAGAAAGAAAGAAAGAAAAAGAGCGGCCAAAACAAGAUUGAGAAAACUGCAGUAGGCAAAGGACGUCACCGGCAGAGGCCAUGUAAAGGGAGCUGCCGCACCACGUCGUCGCUGUCAAGCGGCGCCGGCGGGGAAGUGCAAGGAGGAGGGCGAGGGCGACGAGAGCAAGGAGGGUCCUGAGAUGGGAGAUUAAAAUCAGGGGAGGUCUAAUAGAGGAGAGGAGACUGCAUGUCACUGAAAUCUGGGGAGUCGCGCCCAGGUUGGGAAAACUCACAAGACACCGCCUCCCCAAAUUAUCUGUUCCCGCAUCGACGAUUUCACCCGAGGAAUAUGUCACGCCUCGCACCUUGAGUUCGGCGUGCACCGAUAACCACGGACAGUGAAAGUGGUUCUCUGUGUAUGCGCCAGUGUCCCUACCCGCAAGAGCUAUGUCUCGUUUUAAGAUCUGUUGGCUGGUGGGUGGAGAGGACGUACGUCACCAAGCGCCUUUACCCCUGUGAUCUGACGUCCAAUUUAGAUCCAGCGGUCAGGACCAAACCAAGGCAAAAAAAAACCACGACCGCUUGACUUCGGUUUCUUCUAGCAUAUGAAAGUUGGUUAGAUCGUAUUUUAGAAAGGGAUAACUAAUUAACUAUAGUAUUUUGGUGGGUCAAGUGUACAAGUGAAAUGGCCUGUAGUAGCAUAUGUUGCUACAGAAUUUCUAUAGAAGUUCAAUGACAAGUGAAACUUAAUUGAUCAGAUUUCUCUUCUUUUAAUAUGUUGUUACAUUACCAGUUUCAGUUGCAAUCUGGUAUACGUGACAAUUUUUCAAAGUAUAUGUGACAUUUUGUUUCCAUCAAUCUGCUUCCGUGGUUACUUAGAACCCAGGCUGUGAGUAGAAAGUAGCUCUGGGACUUGUUUUUGCCUCAGAUGUGUCUCAGCCGCUGGAUCAAGAAUGGACGUCAGAUGGGAGGGGUAAAGGCACCUCGUGAAGUGCAGGAGCAACUUCACCGAAGCGGCGUCGGGACAUGACUAUGCGUGAUGAAUGAACUCUGAAUUCCCCACUUAUCUCUCUGAACUCUCGCCCCCUUCGUCUGAUUCUCACCUCAAUUUCCCCUUAACCUGUGCGAUCCCCUUCCUCUCUAGGUCCGGGGUCGUCACAGAAUAGCAGCCGCGGUGGUCCGGCGGGGUGAUCUCCGGCGUGCAACACCGUUUGAUUUUGAUCAGGCGCGCCUGAUAAGUUGGGAGCGGGGGGUAUGUGAAGAGCAGAGGCGCAUCCUCUCCUCGUUUCAAUCCUCGCUCGGGUUCUCUCUUCAUCCGUGAUCCCUUCUUCUUCGUAAGGCUCUUCUUCUCAGGGCCGAUAUCUGGUGAGCAUCCCCCGCAUUUUCUUUGACUCGCGUGCGAUUCGUUUUUCAGGCACCCCUCGUCUGUGUUGUGCUCUGUUUAGGGUUGGGGAGCUCCAAUGCAUGUUGAUUCUAGUUUUUUUUUGUGUAGGGGUUUGCGGCCAGGAUUGCGGGAUUGUUGUCCCCCACUUGCGCACUUGUACUGACUAGGAGUAGUUAUACUUACUGAAGAUUGUUUUUGGUUUCGGUUCUGCAUGCAUGUUGUGAGCUAUUGCGCCAGCUGGAUGAUAUCUAAGUAGAGAUUCUAGGUAGUUUUUCUUUUUUAUAUAUGUAGGCUUGUUGGAUGAUGUUGGUCUCAUGUGUGUGUCCCCCCCUAAGAACUACCAUGCUUGUACUGAAGUUAGUGGCUGAAGUUUUUGCUCUGGCAUGUUUGUACUGAGAAGUUAGUUUUCUGAAGCUGUCCUUUCUGAAGAUUUGUGUGCUCUAUUAUGCUUUGUGCUGGAUAAAUUUUGCAAGAUUUUUGUCAUACCAUCUGUUAAAUGGGGUAUGUAAUUUUCUGUACAUACUGCUCUAGCAUUUUCCUUACUGGCUUUGCAAUAUUGUAGAUUUUCUAGUGUGUUUUAAUGGCUAUGGAAUUUAUGCAUGUCAUUUUAUUCUAGCAUGAGUUUAUUUUGGCAUGUAACUUCCAUAUUUUUUUCCUUGAUGGUAUGUAAUCUCUUAUCUAAUUGCAUAUAACUUCUAGGUUCUGCUUUGCGGCACUGUUUCUAGGGUCUUCAUCAUGUGUUACUUGCAUAUAAACUCUGGUCCCUUUUUUUGCAGCAACAUGAGUACACCAUUGAACAUUGCAAAGUCAGGGCACCCCAAACUAAAGAAGUUGAGGCAAUGGCUAGCGAUGAAUGCAAAGGAUGAUGUUAAGGGGAAGGUUUGUGUUGAUGAGCCUGCUGAACUACCAAAAGUUGGCAGGAGGUAUGAGGUACUGGAGUUUAUAUGCUAUUAAUUUUUUUCAUUUCAUAUGUGUAUUUUGUGGCUUCUUUUGUUACAUGUUGUUUCUUCUUUUCAAAUUGGCAGUUCAAUCGUUCAUCCCCAAUGAAACUUGUUAGAUUGUCUAAAUCAUUUAACAACGAUCAGAAGGAAUUAAUAAGCAAAUCUGGUUUUGGAAGUUUUGUUUCUGCAAACAUUUCCGAGUUACACCCAGAGGUGUGCAAAUACUUGAUGGAUUCCUUCAAUCCGGAUUCCUGCGAGCUUGGGUUCAAUGAUCGCGGAAGCUUACCCAUCAAGGAGGAGGCGGUUCACAGAGUUCUUGAGGUUCCAAUGGGGAAGAAUGCAGUCAAGUACUACAUUGACACGGAAGUGAGCAAAGUGGUGUUUGACAUGCUGCAAAUAAAAGAUGGGAAACCCCGAAGCUUUCAAAUUUGGAGAAGAAGUUGUCCAGCAUGCAAUCUGCUGAUGAAUCUUUCAUGAGGCUGUGGUUGUUGUAUGCGAUGUGUUCUGUGAUGGCUCCAACCACAGGGACAAUGGUCAGCCCAAGGUGCUACCCGGCAAUACUGGAUAUUGAAGGGAUACGUGAUCUGAAUUGGUGCCUAUUUAUUGUGGAUGUGCUAAUAAAGACAGCGAGAGCAAAGGAUAAGAACAUGUUCGAGGCAUCUAUGCCUUUCCUUAUGGUAAGUAUAAUUUUGCCGAGGUUUUUCUUAGAAGGUUCAGCAAUGCCUUUUGUUUCUGCAAUUUGUAGUAAGGUUAGGUUUUCAUUGAUAUAGAUACUAGUUUCACCUGUUCUUAUAUUCUUUUUGCAUGAAUAAUUGAAAUGUAACUUAAAGUGUUUUUUCUUAAAUCCAUGCAUGUACUAAGUUUUACAUAUAGAUGUAAGUUUCACCUGUUCUUACAUUCUUUUUACUGAAUAAUUGAAUGUAACUUAGUACUUUUUCUUAAAUCCAUGUGUGUACUAAUUUUUGCAUAGAUGUAAGUUUCACCUUACAUUCUUUUUACUGAAUAAUUGAAUGUAACUUAGUGCUUUUUUCUUAAAUCCAUGUGUGUACCUAGAUGUAAGUUUCACCUAUUCUUACAUUCUGCACUUAAUGUUUGGAUGUAACCUUGUGCUUCUUAUUACAUCUAUGUGUGCAGCAUUUUUCCCUUGACGCUUUUACAUUUUUUAGUGAUUCUUAUUACAUCUGUUCUUGCAUCCUUCGCUGAAUUUCUGGAUGUAACUUAGUGAUUCUUAUUACAUCCAUGUGUGCAGUAACAAUGCAACAUUCUGUUUCUUUUUUCUGGUUGCAGAUUUUCUACGUCGACUCGCUUGACUUUAAAUCAGAGGAACUUAAAAAGAAGGGGCCCUGAAUAUGUGUUUGGUCCGACAAAUUGGUCCGGAUGGCAGUGAAUUUAGACAAGGACAGUGAUGGUAGCUUUGGGAUGUUACCGGUACUUUGUUUUUAUUUGCCAUAAUACGUGUUUAUCUAACAUGCUUCAGUUUUAUUUUUUUUUGUUCUUUGUUCUUCGUCUAACAUCCAUUCACUGUUUACAGUUGAAGAAAAUAUACCGAAGCCAGUGUUCACUAUUUUGCAACACCACAUCAAAAGUUGACUCUUUCAUCAAGUUUCAUGCUGGAGGCAAUUUGGGAGAGCAAGUAAGAUUUUAUAUGAAUUGAUAUGUAUAAAUUAUUACAUUGGUUUUCAUUUACGGGAUUUGUAAAAUCCACCUUUCUUACAUUUUUUUUUGCUUUAAUGUUUGAUUCUUUUUUGAAAACAGGAUAUAUCAACGUACAGAUCCACCGUCACCGCUGUCAUUGGUAUGUGCAAGGAUUUUGAGUUCGAGCUGGGACAAUUUAUCAAGAAAUGGUCCAGCGGCAAGGAAGAUGGAGAGCCUUCAAAUCAGCACGGAGCAGCAAGAUCUGAAAAGAGGAAAAGGGAAGGUUUAUCUGAUAGAACUGAUGUUCAUGUUGAGCCGAAAGAGUUUAAAGAGAUCACGCAGCAGCAAAAGAAUCCUCACGAUGCCGACAGUUCUGACUUUGAAGAAGGGAAAUUACAGAGGAGGUGCCGGAAGCGCAGAAUCGUGGUGCCUGAUGUUGCAGACUGUGGGUAAUGAAACCGACCAGCGUUUCCUUAUCAGCGUUUCUAGUGAUUUUUCCUUAUCAGCGUUUCUAGUGAUUUUUAAGCAAGUCUUUUCAUGAAGCAACAUUUUGUUACUAUAUUUUUGUUGUACUAAUUGUUGUACUUUUGGUCAUAAUUAUUGUCAGGCAUUUGUUGCCAUCUAUGCUUCUUUAGGGGGUUUGAGCAGCAGUAAAUGCCAAAAUCCAUCAUAUAUAGCAACUUCUGACAAGAGUUUAGCUGCAAGUUGCAUAUCCAUCAAGCAACUAUUUUCAACAUGCAACUAUAUCCAUAUCAAGCAACUUCUAAUAUGGGAAGGAACCAUCUAUGAGUUACUUUUCUUUUGGUAAACAUAAACAUCCCGGCUGCUGUAAAGUCACCUUCACGUAAAGCAACUAUAUCCAUAUCAAGCAGACUCUAACAUAGGAAUCAUCUAUGUGUUGCUUUUUUUGGUAAACAUGCCGGCUGCAGCAAAGUUACCUUUACAUAUAGCAAUUGUACCCAUAUCAAAGCACCUUCUCAUCUAUGAGUUGCUUCCUUCGUUUUAAGUAAAAGUUGCUUCUGAGCUUUAAUUUUGACUUAGAAGUUGCAUUCCUAAGAAGUAUAGUUACAUCAUGUUAAUUGCUAGGACAUAGAUGUCUUCUCCCUAUUUUUAAAUUGAAGGAAUCAGCAAUUUUCAUUUCCCCCGUUGUAAAUCCAAGCAACAUUUAAUCUAUAGUUGCUAAAACAUAAACACAAUUCUGUCUCUAUACUUGCGAGGGGCAUAGAUCCCUCCUCCCAAGUUUCAAGUCAGUAUCUAAUCGAAUACUUUUCCACACACCCCUCGCCAGCAAGUUUGUAGUACUUGUAAUCUGUAAUUACGUGCUUAUACCAUUUAAUACUUACCUCAUGCAUAGCUUCUAUGCAUACAUGUUGCCAGGGGCAUAAAAUGCCUACUCCCCUAUAUUCAAGUCAGCAGUACUACCAACAUCUAACCAAAUACUUGACAGGCACACAUGUACAUCUCAAAGGGGCAAAUUAGUGUACUGUAUAUUAUUUUGGUUGGCACAUAGGAUAACCGUUCAUUAUUAGUUGCUCCACCCUACAUAUACAUUAUGGGAUUCACCAACAUCACCCUUCUUUUGUGGUGCAUCUUUGCUUGGCAUUGUCUGGGUGCAGUACGACGGUGACCAAGAUGUUACAUAUUAUUCAAUACCAGCGUCAGAUUUAGGUCGAUACGCAACUCUUUAAGGUCCAGCCCAUCCAUCUGCAUCAUAACAAUAACAUGCAGUCAUUUUUUUGUACAGUUUCCGGGGUUUUUUUUUAUGCUCAUCCUGAGUGCAUGAGAAGUUGCAAAUCAUAAUUGUGUCUUAUUUUUUAAACAGGAGCUUUUAUCAAGCAAUUAGUGGAAUGUACGACAAACAAGAGGGCAAAUCUUGUCAGAUUAGGAAGCAAAAAACAGGGGGUGGAAACUGACAUACUGAAGCAAAAAAACAGGAACUGCUGUUUUUCAGGGGAUGCAGCAUGAAUGACAGUCCAAAGUUGCCUUUUUACAUGUUUUUUAUGUGUUUCUGUUGAUGAAAACUGGUUUCUGGAGGCAUGCCCAGUUGUUUUCCUUACCCAAAUUUCAAUUAUGGAAUGAGGCUCAUGGAUACAUGCAAUAAAUUAGCAAAAACAGAAGGGGAUAUGAUGCCGUGUCAGGCUUUUAUGAAGCAAAUUUAGAGGGGCCAAACCAUAACCUUAAGCACUUAUAUUUGUUCUUUAUUUUUUAGGGGUUCUUUAUUCUGAUCAACAUAUUGCUUGUGAGUAGGGUGGGAAGAAGUGCUAUACUUCAGGGUAUAAAGCACAAGUUAGUUCUAUAAUGCCUGCAACAAUUCCAGGGGAAGGGGGCAACUUCUUCUUCGUCAAGCAGGAUUCACUCAUGGAGGCAACAAGGAGACAGGAGGGGGUGAUUAGGGAAGAUACGAGACCUGGGAGAAGAUGGAUCUGGGAGGGGGAUAGAGAGGGCAGAGUUGGGGUGCUUUUUGUUUGUCUUUUGCUUUUUUUCUUCACUUGUAUGCUUGUCAAAGGGGCGAGUUUUAUCGCUGGCUCAAGCGGUCAAGCCUGCCGCCAGGUGAAACGGUAGCCUGACGCUACAAAACAGCGUGUUAGGGGGCGGCGACGGGGCGGACGCGCGACUGGUAAAGCGAGGACCGGAAAUUGCUAGUCCGUAUGAUACUAAAUUGUUGACUCAAAUUUGUUCAAAUAUGGAUGUAUCUAUUCUUAAAAAACGUCUAGAUACAUGUAAUAUUUCGACAACAAUUUAGACCGGAGUGAGUAUUUUAGAAAAGGAAGGACCUUGCUUACCAUAUUUGGAUGUGCGUCCUGGGGCACCUAAUAGUGCACGGCCACCCCUAGCACCGUCCUUUAUUUUUAUUAGAUUCUUAAAAAGUGAUCUAGAAAAAUAGAAAUAAAAAAGAAACAACUGAAUAUAGAAAACGAAUUUGCUGGUUUCGUGGUUGGUGUUUAGCUUCGUUAUGGUUUGCAUGCAUAGGUGGGAGGUAAGAUUCACCUGCAGGUCCAUUUUUUCUUUCUUUUUUUUUCUUCUCUACAUUGGUUCAUUUUUACUUUUUAUUGUUUUUCUUCGUUUAAAUUAUAUUUUGUUUUGUCUUUUUUUUAUGCAACUAAUUAAUCAUGCACUUAUUCAUGGGUGAUUUUGAAAAUUGCACGUGAAAUAUUUAUGAGCGAUUCUAAUUGCACCUGAAAUUUUGUGUUUCAUUCUAAAAAUUGCAGCAAGUGAAGUUUUGUGCGUGAUUCUAAAAAACGUGAAAUUUUUAUGCGUGAUUCUAAGUGCACGUGAAAUUUUGUGCCGAUUCUAAAAAUUGUAGGUCAAUUUGUGUGUGAUUCUAGCGAUUCUAAAAAUGCAAAUGAAAUUUUGUGAGCGAAUUCUAAAAAUGCAGGUGAAACUUUGUGCAUGCUUCUAAAAAUUGCACUUGAAAUUUUAUGCAUCAUACUAAAAAUGCAAGUGAUAUUUUGUGCGCCAUUCUAAAAAUUGCGCGUAAAAUUUUGUGCGUGAUUCUUAAAUAUGUAGGCAACAACGUGUAUUUUUUCCAGACGACCAAAGAACGGCCUGCUCAGAGCCUCACACGCACUCACGAGGCCCACAACAGAAAAAAAGCCCACGAGCGGACCUGAUCGGGAGGAUCAAUCGAUCGAUCAGCGUACAGACUCGUCGACUGAGAAACAACUUUUCUCAGUCGUCCGUAGGCACUCCCUAAAGUUGGAGCAUUGUUUGACAAAGAGUGUUUUCUUCUUUUGUUUUAUGUUUUCUUGUUUCUCUUCUUUUUUAUUCGUCUUCAGUCUUUUUUUACAUCAUUUGCUUUUAUGUUUCCUUUCUGACAUGCGUAAACAUUUUUUUUCAGAAUUAUGAACAUUUGUUUUGAAAUACAUGAACUUUCGCGGUGUCGGGGUGGAUGAUUUUGUCCUCUGUGAUUAUCCGUAUGCGUGUGUAAAUGCUACGAUAUGCAACGUGUAAAUGCCAAGAGGAGGAGGAAUACCGAUGACCUUGCGUUUUAACCCCCAAAUCCGUUCGAAUGGAACGCCGAAUAUCCGGAGACGACGCAGCUAUCGUCGCGGCACAUGAGGCCUCCAGGCUCCGUCCGUGUAGCAGUACAUAAUCUACUUGGCAACGACAUAAUGACCCAAGGGAGAUGGAAAACAGAUACCCAGGCACAUGAAGAAAGGCCACACACAUCGACCGGGGAAUAGCGAAGUUGUGGGUGGCGCGAUGACAGGCACUGGCAGCCAUACAAUGGGGGGCUAUCCAAAAUCUCAUCUCUCGCCCAAUCCCGGCCUCACGAUCUCACCUCCUUCCCCCGUGCACCACAAACCCGCGCAACCCCAAUCCACCAGCUGAUAUAUACACUGACGCCCGCCUCGACGUCCUUGAUCUUCCCCUUAUCUGAUCGGAUCCUCGCUUGGACAUGGCGUCGCCCAUGCUCUCCACGGCCAUGGCGCCACUCCAGGUACGUAAUUAAAGCUCGUGUACUGUACGUGUUGUGCUCUGCAAGUAAACUAGACCUGACAAGUUUGUAAUUAGACUGCCAUCAUCUGUUCUGUACAGGGGAGCGGCUUGUUGGAGUUCUCCGGGCUGAGGAGCUCCUCGUCGCUGCCGCUGCGGCGGAAUGCCACCUCGGAGGACUUCAUGUCCGCGGUCUCCUUCAGGACAUACGCGGUACGUGCCUGCUCGAAAUGUGACACUCAUAGCUUAGUUGCAGUGUAGGUGUAUAUAUGAAGCGGCGCCCUACGUGCGUGCGUGCAGGUCGGCACGAGCGGCAGCGGGUCGCGGCGGGCGCCGACGGAGGCGAAGCUGAAGGUGGCGAUCAACGGGUUCGGGCGCAUCGGGCGCAACUUCCUCCGCUGCUGGCACGGGCGCGGCGACAGCUCGCCGCUGGACGUGAUCGCCAUCAACGACACCGGAGGCGUGAAGCAGGCGUCCCACCUGCUCAAGUACGACUCCACGCUGGGCAUCUUCGACGCGGACGUCAAGCCCGUGGGCGACAACGCCAUCUCCGUGGACGGGAAGGUGAUCAAGGUGGUUUCUGACCGGAACCCGUCCAACCUGCCGUGGGGCGAGAUGGGCAUCGACCUCGUCAUCGAGGGCACUGGGGUGUUCGUGGACCGCGACGGCGCCGGCAAGCAUCUCGAGGCCGGCGCCAAGAAGGUGCUCAUCACGGCGCCCGGCAAGGGCGACAUCCCCACCUACGUCGUGGGCGUCAAUGCCGAGCUCUACUCCCACUCCGACACCAUCAUCAGCAACGCCUCCUGCACCACCAACUGCCUCGCCCCCUUCGUCAAGGUCCUCGACCAGAAGUUCGGUAAGUACUUACUCGUAGUAAUAAUAUCUGAAUUCUGAAGUCUGAACUGAACGAAGUUCUUGACGAUUGAUCAAUCAAUGGCGCGCGCGCAGGCAUCAUCAAGGGGACGAUGACGACCACCCACUCGUACACGGGUGACCAGAGGCUGCUGGACGCGAGCCACCGGGACCUGCGCCGGGCCCGUGCGGCCGCGCUCAACAUCGUGCCGACAUCGACCGGCGCGGCCAAGGCCGUGGCGCUGGUGCUGCCGAACCUCAAGGGGAAGCUCAACGGGAUCGCGCUCCGGGUGCCCACCCCGAACGUGUCCGUGGUGGACCUGGUGGUGCAGGUCUCCAAGAAGACCCUGGCCGAGGAAGUGAACGCCGCGUUCCGCGACGCCGCCGCCAACGAGCUCAAGGGCAUCCUCGACGUCUGCGACGAGCCGCUCGUGUCCGUCGACUUCAGGUGCUCCGACGUCUCCUCCACCAUCGACGCCUCGCUCAGCAUGGUCAUGGGCGACGACAUGGUCAAGGUCAUCGCCUGGUACGACAACGAGUGGGGGUACUCGCAGAGGGUCGUCGACCUCGCAGACAUCGUUGCCAACCAAUGGAAGUGAUAUCGAUGAAACGGCAUUGCCCUGUGACUAGCUCCUCUGGAAAUUUUCCCCGGCCGCAUCCUCCUCCGCCGCCUCGGACGAUCGAUUCUUUGUAAUGAGAAUUCGAAGUAUCGAACUCGAUCCCAACAGUUUUUUCUUUUCUUUUCUUUUUUCCUUCUUUCUUUCUCUGAUUUUUCAGUGUCCAGACACGGAUUAUAAUAGACUCCCCACAAAGGGAGUCUCAACGGUGUGCAUCUGUAAUAUAUACUAUCGUUUGCCAGGGUUCUGAUGUAGAAUUCAACUCGCUGAUUCGAACCCUUUUCGAUCAUUUUUUAUCUUUAUUGCAAGCUCAACCUUCUGCGCAUGAUCAGCUAAGAAAGAGCAGUUUGAACCGUGGCCGAAUAUAUAGAAUGAACCGGAAGCGAGACUGACUUCUUCCAAUGCGAAAUUUAACGGAUCAGGCCGUCAGCAGAUUUAUCCUCACAAAAUGACCCACAAGAUUAGAGUUCUCCAUGCAGCACCGAGCCCACUUGGACGAUGUAAUGAACCACUUCCAUAGGUGCCCCAGCUUUUGGUGGAUCGUAUUUUGGCUGGGCUUCAUAGUUCACAUGUUUGUCAUCCUGUAUACCUGCUACCAGUCGCAGUGGGCGAGUGGUCAAGAAUGAAUAUACAGUACUCACAGCUUUGUGAGCAAAAAUCAGUCGCCUACUUUGAAAAAAAAACCCAGUCGCCUGAAAAACAAAAGAAAUCAGUCGCCUGCUAGUUUCAUGCAAAUCAGACACAUAAAGAAAGAAAAGAUUAGCAUAACACACAGUUCUGGUUGGCACAAAACCAGAUGUUUGCUCCUUGGAUAAAUUCACACUCUGACAACUCCAGUGACCAAUUCAGACAAAAAGAGCCCAACAAAACUUUCAUCCUAUCCACAACAACCAAUAGUCGACAAAUACAAAUUAUAUGACAAAUUACAGGUUUGCAGAACCAUGUGCAAUUUAGUAAAAGGAUCAGCAUGCGCAAAAUUCUGUGUUGAUUAAAACCUGCAGAAAUGCACCAUCCUAUCUGAGUGAUAAAUCCAUGGAGUGAACUAAAAAAUCCCUUUGAUCUACAGAAUUUACAAUUUCAACCCCUGGACAAAAUGGGCGUCGUAUCUUAUGAAUCCCUCAUCGAGGUGCACUCCUGCAUCCCACGCAUCGCAGCCAGCCGAUUGCCAUCCUACGCAUGUGUUCAGUUUUACAAAUUUUUACAAUUAAGCGCCCGCUUCCAUCCCUCUAAUUUGCAAAACCAGCCCUGAAUAUUUUUGGCAGGAAUCGAUCAAUCAAUCGUCUUCUCCUGCAAAAAGGCCGCUGGCUCUCUCCACGGCGACGUCGCCGUCACCCCGUGCGCUCCCCCGACCUGCAGAAACGCCCGAACCGCGCACUUGAAAGGAGAAGGAAUUUCGGCCACCUGACACAUACGUUGAGAGGUCUCAUAAAACUGUGGUAAGAUCGAUCUGCUUUGUGCUGCACUGCUCUGUUUUCUCCCGUUCCAAAGCAGAUCAUAUUGCCUAAGGUUUUCAACAUCAUUAUUGGGUAAAACAACAAAAACUACUCUUCAUGUAUACUGUAAUAUAUGUGCUUCUUGUUUCAAAGGUUUAUAAUUACCUGUUGUGCAGCAAUAGAAUCUAACAUGCAAAUACUCAUGAACGAGGAGGGAUUUACUACACCCAUAAACAAAGCAAGAGUUCCUUUAGUUGUAAGUCAAUUCUUUUUACUGAACAUGUCCGUUUUCAGUUCAGUUAUUUAUACAUGAAGGUGCUUAUUGAUUCAUUCUUUACAAUGCAGUGUUCAUCUUUUAUACCUGGAUGUGAACAGAAAUUGAAGCCUAAAGUAGGAAUGACAUUUGAAGGACUAAAGGCUGUGGAGGAGUUCUACAAGUCUUAUGCACAUCACUCUGGUUUUGGAGUUCGUAUUGGACAACAAAGGAAGUUGGACAAUGAGAUAGUUCGUAGUAAACGUUAUAUGCGUAACAGGGAAGGAUUCAAGUCUGAAAAGGGUAAUGAGAUUAUUGAUCCAUCAGUGAAAAGACAUAAGAACACGGCCACAAGAUGUGGUUGUGAUGCACAUAUUUUUGUGAAGUUGUGUGUAACUGACGCCUACAAGAUAGAAUCCUGGGUUGAACACCACAAUCAUAGUCUCAUGUCACCUGAUAAGCAUCAUUUGAUCAGAUCAAAUCGUCAAGUUAGUGAGAGGGCAAAGAAUACACUGUACACAUGCAACAAAGCAAGCAUAGGCACCUGCCAAGCAUACAGGCUCCUCCAAGUCAGCGAGGGUGGAUUUUCAAAUGUUGGAUGCACGAAAAGGGACUUGCAGAACUACUAUCGUGACCUCAGGUAUAAAAUCAGAAAUGCAGAUGCCCAAAUGUUUGUGUCUCAGCUAGCUAGAAAGCAUGAAGCUAAUCCAUCAUUUUUCUAUGAUUUUGUGGUGAGUGAAGAAGGGAAGUUGAUGUAUGUGUUCUGGGUAGAUGCCACAACUAGGAAGAACUACAAGCACUUCGGUUAUGUGGCAUCCUUUGAUUCUACAUAUACUACUAACCAGUAUGACAUGAUCUUUGCACCAUUUACCGGAGUGAAUCAUCACUUACAGAGUGUGUUUUUUGGUGCUGCGUUCUUACUAAAUGAGAAGGCUGAGUCAUAUGUUUGGUUGUUUAAGACCUUCUUGAGGGCAAUUGGAGGUGUAGCACCGAAACUUAUCAUAACCGAUGAAGCUGGUAGCAUCAAGAAUGCUAGUGCUGAAGUUUUUCCAACCACCGCACACAGGUUGUGCAUGUGGCAUAUGAUGGAAAAACUUCCUGAGAAGAUUGGACCGUCGAUUAGAGAAGAAUCUGAAUUUUGGAAGAGAAUGAACGCAUGUGUAUGGGGUUCAGGAACCCCAACCGAGUUUGAGUCACAGUGGAAUUCAGUAAUUUCAGACUUUGGGUUGGAGGACAAUAAGUGGUUAAGUAAAAGGUUUAGCCUUCGAGAGUCAUGGAUACCAGCCUACUUUAUGGCCAUAUCACUAGCGGGCAUUCUUCGAACAACUUCAAGGUCGGAAAGUGCGAAUUCAUUUUUUAACCGUUUCAUUCAUCGCAGGCUCACUUUAGUUGAAUUCUGGCUUAGGUUUGACACGGCUUUAGAAUGCCAACGUCAGGAGGAGUUGAUUGCAGACAAUUCAAGCAUACAUAGGAUCCCCCAAUUAGUUACACCAUGGGCAAUGGAGAAACAUGGUAGUGAAGUAUUCAAAUAUGAGGUGUUUGAGAAAUUUCAGAAACAAAUUAUUGCUUCAAGAGAUCAUUGUUGUGUUCAAGGCAUUGCACAAGAUGAGGGAAUAAAAAUAGUGACCUUCAAAACUGGUGCCAGUAAAGUAAGGGAGGUCCGUUGUGAUACGACAACCACGAUAGCUAAUUGUUCGUGCAAGUUAUUUGAGUCACAUGGAAUCCCAUGCCGCCAUAUUAUCCAAGUGAUGAGGAUUGAAAAUCAAAAUGAGCUUCCAACCUUCUAUAUUAUGGAAAGAUGGCAGAAAAGGUGUAAAAGGUACAAAAAGAAAAUCAUAACCAUCAUUACUCUUAUUUUAUUGCAAACCAUAUGGCUGAGAUCUAAUUUUUUUUUCUAUAGGGAGUGUUUACGAUGAACAAGGGAACCUGCUAGAAGAGAAGCCCACUGACUCCUUGGAUGCCGCUGCGAGGAAGAAGAUUUCAACAAUACGCAACAAGUUAGAAGAUCUAAUUUUAAGAGCCAAGCAAUCAGAUGAAGGCAUGGAGUUUUUAAAGUCGAGUGUGUUCAGCAUUAAGGAGCCCCUGGGCAAAAUGGUUCUUACAGCAGUCAAGCACACUAGGCAAGAGGAAUAUGAGGCAUUUAUUGGGUGCAACAUACCAACUCAGGUCGACAUACACCCACCAAAUGAUGUUCAUUCGGUAGGGAGAUGUAAACGAACAAAGAGAGGAAAGGAGAUGAAUGGAGAAGAACGGAAAAGGAAGAACAAAGAAGCCAAUGCCAAGGUCGCACACUUGUGCAAGACGUGCAAGCAAAUAGCAUUCACGAUAGUCGCAACUGUCCAAGCAAAAAAGGCCAUGGAGAAGAAACCAUGAAUGCGCAAGACAUUCAUCUUAAUGGAUCAUCAUGAUAGCUGCAAGCCUGCUAUUUGUGUCAAUAACACCAUUAUAUUAGUUUACUGAAUGUCUGCAUUUAUAUAAUGGAUGAGAAUUUGUGUUUUUCCCAAUUGAUUAGCUUAUUUGUAUUACACUGAUAUCAGGUUUUAGCAAGUUUACAUAAAGUGCAAAGAUCAGGUUUUAGUAAGCUCACAUAAUCUUGUCAGACUUAUCUUAUUUGUAUCACACUGAUUCAGUACUUUCCAUGGACAACAAUACUCCAGGUUAUUUUAUACAUUGAUUCUUUGGGCUGCUAACUGCUGCUACCAUGCAUCAUGUGCAAACUUUACAACAAACACAUCAGACCAGGAACACCUCAAUUGCUGAUAAGAACAAGCCAAUAAGAAUAUGUUUCCAUCUGAAAUUUCCAUUCACAACAACUUGCAGUCACUUGUUUCUGAAAAUCAAUAUUAAGCAAGAAGAGAGGAGUACAGGGGAGUUACAAAGUGCAGGGAGAGCCUGCAAAUGCUACAGAAGCAGCAUACCAGCCGGAGCUAAAGAGCUACAAGGACCAAAGCUACAAAAUGCUACAGAUGUAGCAUAUUAUCUUCAGUCAAAAACUGAAAACAACCUCAGUUACACCCAACUGAGCAAGAUUACAAAAAAACUUCAGAGAGCUGAAACACAGCCGGCAGUUACACUCUAGGAGUGAAGAUCUCCAGGAGCUUACAAGCUCACAAACCACAUUUGGGAGGAGGUCAAUCUGCUAGUACUAGAUACAUUAAACAAGAACAAGAAAAUUCAGUGAGGUGGUCAUCGUUGCUCUGCAAGGAACCUCAGGCUGUACUUCCUGCCCACGCGAGUCUGCAGUAGGCCGGCAUCGUCAGGUGGAGGGGUCUGGUUGUGCAAGUGAAGCGGCAGGGAAGUUGUGGCUGGCGGCGGCCUUGGCGUCAAGCCCUAGCAAAGUUGCGGACGGGCGGAGGGCCGGCCAGAGACCUGGACAGGGCGGCAGUGAGCGCAGGAGCAAGGUCGUCGGCAGAUCGCUCUGGGGCGAUGACGGAUCUGCUCCGGGUCGACGGCAAUGGCGAGCACGGGGGCAACGGCGACGGCGAGCGCAGUGGAGAGAGCCAUGGGGCUUUUUGCAGGGGAAGACGGGAUUGGUUCCUCCGAAAGUAUGGAGGGCUGGUUUGCAAAGAGGGACGGAAGCGGGCGUUUAAUUGCAAAAAAUUCUAAUAGUGAACACACGCGCACGAUGAAAAUCGGCCUGCUGUGAUGCGUGGGAUGCAGGAGUGCACCUCGAUGAGGGAUUCACAGGAUACGACGCCGACAAAAUGGGGCAAAGUCAGACAAAGAGAUCCCAGACAAGCUUCCCAUUUUCUGGACAGUAACAGAAAAUGCGGACCAGAUUGAGUAUCAGAUUGCGCAUUCAGAAUAGACAAGGUACAAAAAUCUGGGGAUGCAAUUAUAGGUUUGCAGUUCCAGAUUUUGUAAUUUGAAACCAAUGAAAAAUUCAGACAAAAAACAAACCAGCAAAGCUUGCAUGCUCCUGAUAACAACAAAGAAUUGACGAAAAAAUGGGACGCCAAAUUACAGGGUUGCAAUUCGAGUCAAAGGAAAAUGCAAUUGCAUUUCGUAUGACACCCGAUUGCGCAUAGUGAGCUAAGUGCAAAAAAUCAUAUGAAUUCCAGAAAUCGACACAUACGAUUUGAGAAUUACUCUUGUGCAAUUCUAAUGUCUCACAAAUGCACUUGCAACUCAUAUGAAACCUGAUUGCGCAAAGUAAGCUACAUGCCAUUGAGAUACAUUAAAAAGAGGGACGGAUUUUGGGUUCAUUACGCCAAUGAUCCACUGUCAUUUCAUAAAAAUAUUCGAUUGCACAUAGUAAGGUACACACAAUUAAAGAAAGAAAACAGAAAUGCCCAGAAAUCUAUAUCAUUAAACUCAGGAAGGUGCACUUUGUAUCUAAACACAUAAAUCUUGAUUACCAAAUAAGGGCCAAAAAAUAAAUGGAUACACAAAGGCAGAGAUAGCAUAACACAAAAAGGCAAAAUGAAGUGUACCUGUUCAUUGCUGACUCAAGUGGUCCUGUAGCUUCCCUUGUCAAAAGAAUUAGAAAGCAUAACUGCAGCCAUCUAACCGUCAUACAGAUAUAGGGCCCCUGCAUGCCAGAUAAAAACAACACUACACUAGCCAAGUAAAAAUUCCAUAGAAUGAACUCAAAAUGCCAUCAUCUUCAGAAUUUGCAAUUCGAACCUAGGAAAAAUCCAGACAAAAGAUACCAGAAAAGCUUCCAUUGUCUCGACAACAACAAGAGUCAACAAGAAAAAAAAUUGGGCACCAAAUUACAGGUUUGCAAUUCCGGUCAAAGGCAAAUGCAAUUGCGUUUCGUUUGAGAUCCGAUUGCGCAUGGUGAACUAAGGGCAAUUGAGAAAAACAGACAGAUUGGGGCAAGCAUUCAUAAACCGUAGACAAAAAAUAAAUGCAUAUGCAUCUCAUAAAAACACCGACUUGCACAUCGUGUGCUACAUGCAAUACCCAGAUACACUUUUGAACCUUUGAAUUAAGGACCGGCUGAACUAUGGAAUUGGAACUGUAAUUGAAGCUUGCUAACUACCAAGCUAAAAAGUCGUCUGUACAAGCCAACACAAAGUAAUAUCAGGAGAAAAAAAAAGGAGAUAGGAGCAGGAACGGUUGAUGAUGGGCAUGAAUGCUAACCUCAAUGAAUCCCCUCCUUGCACUUGUCUUUGACGUUUUAUGUUGAAACCUUGGUCCAGCCCAGCCACCCUCCAACAAAAAAAAUCGCAAAUACACUGGAAAACUUAUUACUUAUGUUUUCCUACUGUUAACAAUAAGAUAUGGCGAGAACAUAACGAACAGAAGAGCACGAACCUGCUGACACAUAGACACCAUUUCCUAGUGAUCCCCUGCUAAAAAAAAGGGUCCUAAAAACACCGAAAACAAUGAGCAAAUUCAGCUUAACAUGAUUGAAUUAAAAUACACUACAACUGAUCGCAAAAAAUCAGCAAUCAACAGAACCUGAGCUGAUAUAACACACAAUUAUAAGUGAACUGGACACCCAUAUAGCACACACAUAUAACAAUCAAUUGCACAUAAGAGUCGCAUUUUGCAUAUACAGUUAUCUACCACAUGACUAGUGACAUUUAUACAAAGAAACCAAAUUUAAAUUGAAGUGCAUAUCGCUAUCAUACAAAUUGGAACAUAUAUUAGUCAAAUUUACACCUAUACAGAUAUAAGCUACUGGUAAGCUAGCCCAAUGCCUAAUCAGAUUAAUACAAAAUGUAUGAGCCUGAAUAUACACUAUACAUAGAAGAGGUUAGAGCUACACAACAUUACAUAACAGUACUGCAAACAAAGGGGGAGGGGGGGGGGGGGGCAGGUGAACCAUGAAUCAAACACAUGAUAAGCAACCGAAAAUCCAAUACAAGCUCCCACACAACUCUAAAAUUCAGGCUAAAGAGCAUAAGCUUAUAACAAAGCACAACCAGAUCCAAGCUACAGCCUAAUCCACCGAACAACUACACUCUUUCCCAGCCACUAGGGUGCAUAGCCAAAAAUAAUGGUUUCUUAACCUCCUAGAUACAAAUGACAUAAAGACUACUGCUUGCAUCAUGCUCUUGCUUUGGAGAGCUUGGCACCACAAGAAUGAUUUUAUUUUUGACAAGGGUGACUCGUCGAUGAAUUCCUUGGGCAUGUUUCUCUGGUCCUUCCUCCAAACUUCCCUCUCUACAUAUCACCCCCUGUCACGACCACAAAGGCACACAAUUAUAAGUGAACUGGACACCCCUUUUUGAGCACACACCACCAAAUCAACCCAUAAACGUCCAACCUCAACAAUCACCAAUUCGUCUCCGGAGGAAAGAGUUCCAACAGCAAGCACAUGUUAACAAAUCAAACGCCCCAACACAAUGGGAUGGCUGCACACAGACAGAUUGCUGCAUUUUCGAAAAGCAAUUGAAAAAAUAAAUUUAAGGAAUGGCAUGGUACAACAUGUAGACAUAUCAUUUUACAAAAGUGACCAAAAAGGGGUAGGAUUGCCACAAUGCUAGACGAAAUUUUAUUUCAAAAAGAAGCACUCCCUUUUUACACAGCAUAAAGCUAGGGUUGCAAUUAAUUUAGCAAAGUAUCAAAACUGAAUAGAUUCCAUAACUACAAAACAAAGAGAACAUGUAUACAAAUUAAUAUAUGCAAUUGCGGUUUGAAAUAGAUCCUGUUGCAACAAGAGAAGAAGUGCAAUUUUAUUUGAAAGUGGGUGCAAUUUAAAUAGACAUAGGUUUAAUACAAAAGGGACCUAUAGCAAAGGUGAUUUAUAACCUACAAAUUGACACUCAUAAUUACCAAUUACACAACCAACUGACACUUAUACCAGACAAACCCAUAGAAUCAGAAAAAUGGCCAUGAAAGGAAAAUUUACUAUAUUAGUUCCAAAUUACAAAAGGUAAUUACAUUCAGUGGGCAAAACCACAACACAUAAUCAACCCAUAAUACAUGAAAUGGCAAAAUUACUUUCAGCAGCUAAAACACAUCAGUCUGAAUCUGAAUCCCUACUACAGUUAGCCCACGUUGCGAAAGGAUUCAGCCUGCUCUGAAUCACUACAUCACAAACAGCACCACAGACCACAAAAUCAACCCCUGAAUCAAACACCCGACCAGCAAAAAUCAAACACGAAACUGGAGAAUGAAACCCGAAAAUUUCGGCCGGAGAAACUCACCACGCAAAGCGACCAACCUCGUCGCCGACGAGCACUGAUGCAAAAUGACCCGCGAGUCAGCGACAACGCAGGUGAUGCGGGCACGCACGGGUGGUUGCCUCCGUACUCCCGGGCGGCGUGCUGGAGCAACACCGCGAACGUCGGCUGACCCUGGAGCUCGACGCGUACGGCGAAGCUCCACGUGCCCUCCCUCCGCCGACGAACACCGGCUCGUGCCCCUCCGGCACCCGCGCGCCGCCUCGCAGCCUCUUCGCGCCGGAGAAGGAUGACGACGUCGAGUCCACGUAGGCGGUCUUGACCGGAGCAGCUGGGCAGCAGCGGCGCAGGCGUUGGCCGCGGCCACGCGGGAGGUCUGCCCCUGAGCAGGUGCUCCGUGCUGCUCUCCGCUCCCCCCAUCCCUCACCCAGUCACCCCCCCAUCUCCUCCCCGCUCUCCAGAACACAACCGCGAGGAGCCGUGGACGCCCAGCGAAAGACAUAGGCGUUAAACACAAAAAAGAAAGAAAAAAGCUCACCAAACUUCCACUGAUCUCGUGUACAGAUCGCCUGUUUUUUUCAACAAACGCAGGCGCCUCGUGUACAGCAAAACGGCAAAAAUAAUGGGUUCAACUCUAUUUAUUAUAAUGUAAUCUAUUGGGUUUGAGAAAUUCUAUUGGGUUCAUUUUUUUACUGUACCCUGGUACUCUAUAUAGAGAGGUGGAAGUACCAACUAAAUCUGACCAUUGGUUUAGCAGGGUAUUUUAGACCUUUUUCUUUUCUAAUGCAAUUCAAUUUAUUUUUUCUGCCGUGCGGUGCAAAAAGAAACGAAACUGCUUCGUCCUCAAGCCGCCUCUGCCUUUUCCUAAACAGGCGCAUCCCAUGGCGUCAUGGUGGGGCUGGCGGCUUCCUGCUCCGAUCCUCUCCCAUCGUCCUACUCUCUGAUCCUGUCCGAUCCGAUCAGUUGCUUCCUGUCGAUGCAUCUCCCACAGCGCUGCUACCAGUCUGACCGAAGACGGCGCCUCGUUUCUCCUUCUCGCUAGCAUGCCCCGUGAUGUAGAUGGAGUCCACCGCCACCGCCGAUGGCCUCCAUGGCCGAAGCGCAGAAUCUCGACAGCGGGGAAUCCGCCCGCUCAUCCCGUCUCCUCCGCAAUCCUUGGUAGUGGUUGAUGCCGCUGUUGUUUGUCUUCCGUGGACGAAGAUGCAGAGCCACGCCGGCGGCCAUGCGUCGGGUAAUUUGUGCGCUGUGAAGAGGAGUGGGGUUAGUUCACGAAUGAAAAUACAAGGAAGAAAUUCACUCGCGGGAAAAGAAUAACAUAACGUGCCGAUUACAAUUUUGCCAUCUAGAUCCUGGUACUCCAUGACUUUUCGAGUCAAUGCUCCAUUGAAUUGGUGUUGGAGUGCCAGAUCGUAUUAACCGUUAGAUCGAGAUAAUUGGACGGUCUAUAGUAGCUCAGGGGUAUCGUAAAAGAGCUCUCACCUGAACCCAUCACUUCUAUACCAACUGCGCCACGGAGUACUCCCUGCGUUCCUAAAUAGAAGAUGUUGUUCGUAUUAAGUCAAAAUUCUUAAAUUUUGACCAAGUCUAAAACAAAUCUACAAUAUUGAUAACUCUAAUUUUUUUAAUCCGUCAUGAUACAUUUAUUUGAUAUUGUAGAUGUUACUAUAUUUUUCUGUAGAUUUGGUGAAACUCUAUUUUUUGACUUAUGAUAAAACUACAACAUUUCUAUUACAAUAUAUUAAAUUGGAAUCGGUGGUGAUGGGUGGACGCCGUUGGUCGGUGUUGGUCGGUCAAUUUCGUUAAAAUUACAAUCAAUAUGCCACUGCCCCUUAUUUUUUUUCCCUCCCGCCUUAUUCACGAUUUCAAUAGCAGAAAUUCUACGGUUUAGAUUUACCGAAAGUUAUCGUACGGUCCAAAUUUGUCACAAUAUAAUACGAACAGUUCUAAAAUAAAUCAAUCUCCUUAACAUGAAUUCCAAAAAUUUUCGUAUCCAUCUCAGUAUGGAAAUCAAUCCGAACCCAAGCAAAAAAUCUCGAUAUCAAUCUCAGUAUGGAAAUCAAUCCAAUCAAAAAAUCAAUAUCCAGACUUCACCUCCACCGGCUCGUGUUUGAUACACUUUCCGUUGUUCCGUAGCAUCGCAUGGGUUCUUUUGCUAGUUUUACAUUAAUUUAGUAACAAUGUUAGCUUGUACUCAUUGUGGGAUAAAAUAUUGCUGGACUAUAAAAUGCACAGAAGAUGGCGACCUUCCCACUCUUAAAACACCAAACGAAUUCCAAAACAACGUCUACAGCCUCGAAAUUUUACCUCUUCCUCGUAGUCAGUGAUCGCGGACGUUGAGAGUAGAGCAGAGUACGUAGGUCUGGUACGUGGUGAUCACAGCGGCAGAGGGGAGUCCGGGGGGACCUAGGAUAUUAAUUAAGAGGGAGCAAAAAAUUUAAGCAUUUGAAAAUAUUACACAUAAAUUAGAGGAAUGUGGUAAAUGUUUAGUGUUAGAAUUAAAAUAGAGACGAGAACAAAAAUAACUAACCAUCUUAAUUCGUUUCCAUAUUUCAACCUCUAAACUCUUGUUAUCAAUUAAUUAUAAGCAUAUUCACCGCUAUAGGAAGCAGAUUUCUAUAAAGAUUGGUUUUUAUGUUUUAUUUUUUUUAGAGACAUCUGGCUUUAUUAUUUAGUAAAAGUGGCACUCCAUUCGAUGCAUAAUAAGUGUCUGAAAUUUAGUACAAAUCUAUACCAAUUGUAUAUUAAGUUCAAUUCAUUUUAGGGGUGAAGAUUUGUUGGUUUUGACCCCAGAAUUUUUUUUGAGAGGGGUUUUAGCCCCUGAUUAAUCACAUGAAGACACACACCACGAUCACCGGAUCAGGCCAAAAGUCAAAACUCAAUCGAACAAAAUGGAGUCUCAACUUUGCCUCGGGCCCUCAAGAGACCCCAAAAAGGCCAUAAAACCCAUAGCUCAGCCCAGCCCAGCCCAGCGCCAAAGAAGCCCAUAAAUCCUGGAAGAAAGUUCAUCCAUCUGCAAAAAUCACAUCUGCAGAUCUGCUCGUUUUCUUGCCGCUGCUCAAUCUCAUACUCCUCAACGCCUAUCCUCUCCGGCGCCCGACGCUCGACGGUCCCCGCUGAAUGUCCUUCUCCUGUGAAGUCUGAUCCCCUCCCCGGGGGCUUACCACCGGCCACCGGCGCCUGCUUGCUGUUCCCCGACCCGCUAGCUACCGCUAUAGGUAAUUCCAUUGCCUUAAAUCAAUGUAAGGGAAACCAUGGAUUGUUCACUGAUACUGCUCCAAGCAUGUCUCGAUUGAUGUUGAUGCUCUUGCUACUUGGCUUUUGCACAUGUAGUGAAAUUUUUAGGAGAUUUUAUCAACUACUUCCUCAGUUAUAUAUUAAUUGGCACGGAUACUUGUACGAGAUCCGUGUCAAUUAAUAUGGAACGGAGGGGUAGUCACGAAUAAUCCCUCGAUAGGUAUUUCCACAUGUGUGAUAUGUUCAUGGCAUCAUGCGUUGAGAAAGUUGACACUUUACAGUACUCUCUCUGAUCCAUAAAAAAGGUCGCCCAUUUUGUAAUAAGAUACUCCCUCCGACCGGUAUUACUUGUCUCAAAUUUGCCUAAACGUGGAUCUAUCUAUGUGUAGAAAGUGUCUAGAUACAUGUAAACUUUGACAAGUAAUUCCGGCCGGAGGGAGUUGUACAAAUUGUACUAAGUGGAGGACACUUUUAUGGGUCGGAGGGAGUAGCGUUUGUGUGUAUGCGUGUGCUGUUCAGAUGGCCGAGAGUGACAACAUACCACGUCUUAACCAAAUAACCAGCCCCCAUUGUGUACUUGUGUGUGUGUCAUGGAUGCAGCAUGCUUGCUAUUAGGCUAUAUACUGAAUCUAUUUACCGGAAAAUCAAAACCGAUCAUGCUCUUGCUGUUAUGUGCUAUGGCAUUAAAAAAGUGUCGCCCAUUUCUCCGUGAAUGAAUCUUUUAAAUAGGAUUUGCUUCUUGUGUCAUGUGGCAAGAUAUUUAUUUAUUUUAAUGAAGUCGGGAGGGGAGACCCCUACCUGAAUUUAGAUAAAAUGGAGCCAGAGGCUCAAAGUUACAAAGAGCCUGAAACCCGCAAAAGAGAAAAUGAUUACAAGGCAGGACAGAGCAAACACAAGGAAGAAAAGGAGAAAGAAAAAAAGUUGGUGUUUAUCAGGCCAAUCUUCAAUCCAAUGGCUGAGCGCCUGUUUUUCCUUGUUCUUGAAACGGCAAGACCAGAGCUUCAGCGUUUCACAGCAUUGUCUUGCGACCACGACUGGAGGAAUAUUGUGAUGGUCAAACAUAAGAUAUUUACUCAUCAAAUAUAAAAACGAAAUUCAAAUGCUAUCGUCUCAUUUUUGAGUUCUCAACUUUGGUUAGUUUGGUAUCUACUGAAACCAUACCGAAAUGGUUUGGUAUAAUACCAAAACCGAACCAUAUUUACUUUCAUACCGUAUUUACUGAAGUUUUGAUUCCGUAUUUACCGAACUGAAUUAACCGAAUGCACAGUCAUAACACUACCAUGGCCAUGGCCGCUGCUGUCUCUAUCUCCCUCUUCCCUACUCUGGCUGGGCAUCCUCUCGCCAGAAGAACACGUAAAUCUCCAUACUCCCAAUGUGUCGUUUGAGUCAAGCCUCUCUUGGAUGAUGGAUCAUACCUUGGUUUCUGAUCUCUAGCUUCUUUCGCUGGGUUGUACAAGAAGAAGAGAAUGAUUUCGGUGAAGCGGGUCUGCUGCUCUACUGAUGAUGAAGGUUAGUUCAGUGAUGACAGGCUGAGAAAUCCAAAUGCACUUCUUUUUUAUUUAUUUUUCAUAGAAUUAAUAUUUCGUUCAUGCUUUGUUUCCUAAGUAUGUGAGUGCUUAACAUAAAUCCACAAGGUAUUUUAGCUUUAUAUGUUUCGAGUUUUUUCCCAGUUAAUUUUGUGCAAGAGAACUCUUUCAGUGACUCUUAGGAAUAAAUGUGUGCCAGAAGCUCAUGAACUCACAGUGUAAAAACUCGCUAGACAUACGCCAGCUAUGGAACACUAUCUGCACCUGUGAAACAUGAAUUCAGGACAUUGUGCAUUGAACUUUAUUUUGUCUGAAGACGAAGUUGUGCUCUCCCUGCAGUGAACUACAGAAGUAAAAGGACUGACCCCCCCUUCGUGACAAUUUGUGCAUGUUAUGAUUCUGAGAUGAGAAAGUCGAUGAUCUGGGAGUAAACGUAGCACUGUCCAUGCUAAAAUUCUACAAAAGUAAGUCCGAAUUUGCAGUUUGUUGCCUCUUGAUUCCUGAUUGUCUUUUGGACAUCCAUCUUACUACUACUAUGCAGUCAAAAACUAUGCUUUUCAGAGGGAUUAGAUCUGUAUGGUCUGCUCACUGGGUCAAGCUUUAUGUCGACAGGAGAGGUAUCACCCUUACUACCUUCAAGCUGCCGUUAUGUGCCAACAUGCAUCGACUACUCUAUGCAGGCGUAUGAAAGGUAUGGUCUUGCGAAGGGUGCAAUCUUGACAGCGCGGUGUAUGUGCCGUUGUAAUCCUCUUAGUAUGUUUUCUUUCUGUUUGCUUAAUAUUUUCAGCUAUGGAAAACUGACCAUAUCAUAUUUAUGGAACUGAGCACUUUUUUAUCUGAUACACAUGUAGGUGGACAGGGAUAUGAUCCUCCAAGGUGGUUUGGUGGGGAAGAGUUACCUGAGGAAUAAUGACUGGUAAUUACUAGCUAAGCACAUACGCCCAAUGGUGAUGUUACAUACAGUUCAAUAUGGAAUAUAGACAGACUUCAGUUGCAUUGUGUUUUAAGUAAAUGACUAUACAACAACUAAAACAAGAGAAAAACAACGCUGUUAGAUUUCUGCCGUACCAGCAUGCUCAAUGUGCCUGGGUUGAUGGUUACUUCCCUUCCAAUGCGCACUACUUCAUAUUAAAAAAAAUAUUCAAGCACAUGGAAUAGAAACAGGUGGAGAGAACAUCAAAAUAACCUGUGCACCUUGACUCUGCAGGAACACUAGACAUCUGGUGCUGCAAGCCUGCAACAACAUGGACCUUAAGUCGACCGAUUGUAUCAUCAAGAAUUAUUGCUAACUUACGAUGCUAUAGAUUGUGUUGUUCCUCAUAUAUUUACUCAUGCCUAAUUGAGAAAAUUGAAGAAAGAUAUCUAGACACCUUGUCAGAUUGAGUGACGCAGGGAUUACACAUAAUCUUAUCAUCUCUGAUAAAAAGAGAGUAGCAAUUCUAGACAGUUUUACGGAUAUAUGUCAGCAACUAUAGUAAACAGGUGCAACUUGAAAAACUGAACGUGGUUUCUGGUACUCGGUUACAGAUACAAAAAAGAAAGAAAAGGAGAAGAACAAACACACAUCUGAUGCUGGAAACACACACCAAACUGAGGAAAAGCACAUACCAAAACUGAGGAAAUAUCUAGAUGACAUAGAAACACCAGAUCAAAUCAAUAUAUCCAUUGGUACUUCAAUCUAUCAAUCCAUCUAUGUCAAUUCAGAACCACUAGUACAAUCUCACAAAAGCAGAGCAAAUGUGCCCAAGCAUCCAGUUGAAUCUAUGCCACGUUAGAACUGCUAGCAUCAUCAGCUACCCAUGCUGAGAGGGCGUAGAGGACCCGGCCUUUCCACCCUUGCAGAAGCCACCGAUGGUCCUCAUUGAUCAUGAAAUGCUUGUGGUACUGGUUCUUCACUUUGUCCUUGAGCAUCAGAACAAUAUCAGGGUCCAAUGGCAACUGCCUCAACCCUGCCCGGUGGUUCCGAGUCUGCCACUCCCUGUAGUUCUGAGGGCGCUCCACCCUGUCUGCCCCUUCGCAGGCGACCAUGUUCAUGACAGAACGUGCGAAAAAGUCCCGCUCCAUCUUCAGUCUCUUGUCGUUGUUCCGUGGAAUCGUGGUCUCCAACACAUCAAAAAAUGAUGCGAAGUUGUACAACGCAUGGCGGAACCGUGUCAUGAAGAACGCCGCACUGUAUGACCCAUUGGUGAUGGCAUGGACAAACACAGACGGCUUCAUCUUCCUGAUAGUGUUGAGCACCAUGUCCCUUGGGCUUACCCUGUCCAUGGUGAGGCUCUCGUCCAUCAAGGUCUUGAACUGGAACAGGCUGUUCACGACAAGCACCUCAUCAGGGUCAAUGUGGAUGUCCUCUGCCCGAACAGCCUCUGGCUGGGCUGUGAUGGCGUUGAACUUGAAUGACAUGCCGAACUUGCUUGCAUAGUUGCUGAGACGGUGCCCUGCCUCCUCGAUUUGCUCAGAUGGGCGGAACCCAGGCUGAGGCUUGCUGAUGCUGGUCAUCCUCACCUCUGGUGGCCCUCCCUCCCUGUCCGCCAGCCACUGGAUCAACUCCGGCCACUGCACUCCGAUGUUGAUGCCGUAGUGCACAAUGUGCAGUUUCUUCCUGCCUGCAACAGCUUUGUAGAUGGUCUUGUUGGAAAAGAGAAAUGCGACCUUAAAGAAGCAGAAGGUGGCGCUGUACAGAUGGUAAGCCUGAACAAGCUUCAUAGUGGAGGUGCGUGUCCCAAUGAGCGAACGGUAGAACUGACUCCCCGUGCCGGCCAGCCGUGCCUCCAGCCCCUGGGCGAAGUAAUGUGCCAGCCGCUGCCUAGAAUCCCCCGUUGGUGAGGAGUACCGCUUGAUCUUCUCCAGUACCUCGCUCGCGCUGCGAUGGUCGUUACUGGCCACUGCUUCCGCACAGCGGAUCAGCAGUGUUUCUAGGUCAGUGACCACCGUCUGUGUUGCACCGCGCCUCCCACGUAUGCGUCUGCUCUUCUGUGCCACCUUGUUCUCCUUGUCUGGAGUGAUUAGUAGCUCCUGCAUCUCACCGGGGUGCCUGUCAUAGCCAUUGAGGAUGAGACAGUCCAAGCUCUUCUUGAGCUCGUCCUCCUCCUCCGAGUCAGCAUGCACUAGCACCGCUAUUUGCUUGCUGCUCCUGCCCAUGCCUGCCUCCGUCACACCAUCCACGUCAAACUUGUUCUUACACCCCCUACUAUCCACCAUCACGAAGUCUCUGGGCAGGAACAUUUCGGUGUUCUCCAUGCCUUUGAAGAAUUCCGUGCUUGGCAUCUUGUUCAUGCUGGUGAUGCUAGCGCUCUCCAUGGGAAACUCGUCAUUCCUGGGCUCCACUGUGCCUGUACCAUUCGAGAAGAAGGCUGGAUCCUGUACCUUACUGGGCAGCAAGGCAGAGGCAAGCACAUCUGGUAGUGCCGAGGACUCGUCACCAUCGAAUGAGGUGGUGUCAGCAGCAGAGAGGAUCUGGGCGAAGGGUUGCUCAACCUGCAGGAGCUUCGGGUGAUCAGUGUACUGGUAGGUGAACUUGUCAACAAUAUCAUCCUCCAUGAGCAUGCGCGAGAUGUAUUCCAAGGACAGAUCAUCCUGUGGCUGCUUUGAGUCACCAUGGUCGAGGAAGACGGACGGAUGCACUGGCGCAGACUCGAUAACACCUAACAACUCCUCUUGGGUGGCAGCCAUGGUGGGUAGAUGCUACUUGGUGAUGGUGCAGUGGAAAUAUGUUGGAAUUGGAGUGGAGAUAUCAUUAUCAUCGAACCUCGUUGGUUUCUAGCCAUUGGAACCAGCUUUAAUACAAAUAUACAAUCCAGAUGGUUCGUUACUUGAUUUAACCGUCCCUGUGCUUAUGGACAAAAAAAAAGCAGCCAUCUUUUCUGUCCCUGUCUAAUCAAAAGCAGGAAUUCUCUGGUAGAAAAUAAUUUUAUGUGUUGAAGUUUUGUGCUGUUAUGGUACAGAGAACAAGUCAAAUUCUGAACGAUUUGUAUACUCAACUUUUUUGUCCUGAAAAUUUACAAUCGGUACCUGUAGUAGUUAGCAUCUAGAUGUAUGUAACUUGGAACGAUGUUCAGUCUUAUGUCUCUUUCCUGCCCCACGCUUGGACCAAACUAGUAGCAAAUUACACCUGCAAGUGAACAAUACAUUUGUUAGGUUAAACAAAUUGCAAAUUCAAACUCCAGCCCUCUUAGCAGAUUGAUUAUAUAUUAGUGUUUUUUCAGUCGUAUCAUUCUAAACGAGGAAACUUAAGAAAAAGGUGUUUUUUCAGUCGUGUACUCAUGUAUCAAUUUUAACUUACUCAUAUCAUUCUAAAUGAGGAAACUUAAGAAAAAAGUACGGCCAUCUUAUCACAUCAACUCUGGAAAAUAGGUGCAGCUCCACAAGCAGAUCAUGGAUUCUGUUACUCGACUACAAAAGUAAAUGGAGCGAUGAAACAUCUGAUGUUGCUGCAACUGACCUUUAUGGCUUGUUUAACUCAUCAAACACAAACCUAAUGUCUGUAAAAGUAAUUUACAAGCGACCGCAGAAGAUAUAUUAGCAAGAAGCAUAUAAUUCAUGUGUAUAUAUCUUGUAUUGAUUUACUUUUUGAAGGGAAACUUGAUUUGUGCACGGAACAAAUUAGUAAUAACUUAUCCUUAUGCAGGACAAAGAAGCUAAUAAUCUGUGGCAGUGUCGUCUAGCACCCACACCAAGAAAACUUAGAGGAUGCGCACCUUCCGCAACAACCCCUGAUCCACAUCCACAACAUAGUCCUUAUGGUACAGGCUCUUGUCCUUGUCCCUUGCCACCUCAACAUAAUCAGCUUGAGUGGCUGUUGUCUUAGGACUGCCCGUUGGUUUCUCAGUAGUACUAUGUUUUAACUCAAUAACUCUAUACAACAACUAAAAGACGAGAACAACAAUGGUGUUAGUUAGAUCUCUGCAAUUCCAAUCAGGCGAUCCAAAACCAUUAUAAUCAAUGUGCUUGUGAAUGUGAUGGCCUUUGUGUAUGUCUGUUGCGGUGCAUAUAUAUGAGUGUGCUUUUACAAUUUACAUCUUUCAGAUUUUCUCUCCCCUCAAUUGUUUUGCUCCAUUCUUCUGCCGACUAGUGUCAAGACCCAAUUGGAUUUUGCUGUUUUCUAAAUAUUUAUUUGCAUUUGGAUUUGGUCAGAAAAUUUUAUUAGAUGAAAAAAGAUUGGCAUAUUCCUGAAGACAGUCCAAAAUUCUUUCUAUGGACCCAGAUGAAAGAUGAACAUUGCCAUAUUCCUGAACAUGAAGGCAGUCGUUUUUUUUUCAGAACUACCAGUUGGUGGAAAAAUUCAAUGUACAAUAUACAAAAAUUAUAGUUAUGGAGUACAAGCAUGAUUCUGCUCUUGCACUGUAAGUCUAUAUUAAGUUAGACUCUUUCUUAGCCUCAGGGGUUUGUGCAGUGCAGUUCAUACUGUCUUCAAAUAUUUGCUUGGUCGGGUCAGCUCAUCUGAUCACCUGGCUACCAUAUCCUCGUAUAUGGUGUUCGUCUGCUGUUGUUUUCUGUUGCAACUUGGCAUGAUCUGGAUGUUUUCACACCUAUUCCAAAACCCCUAGUAUCGAUCCCUGUCAUUGCUGGAACCUUUUUUUGUUUCUCGUUAGUAGUUUUCAGCAUUGUUGGCACUAACAGGUAACAGCUGGUUUGCCAUGUCGAUCUACUAUUCUCUUCCUCUUUGUUUUUUUAUUCUCAGAUGGCGGAAUGUCUCACAGAAUAUCAUUUCAUCAUGCAACUAGGGGAAGUGACUGUUGUUUGUUUCCAGAGUUUGCAAUGUUGAUCUUUUUUAUUACAUUGCUCUCUUUUUUCAGAUAUCGGAAUGCCUCACAAAGUUUAACCUCAUCAUGCAAUUCACAAGGGAGGUACUUAGCAGCACUAGUGCUGGUGAAUGGUGAUAGUUUCAAGGGAAAGUGUCUACUGACUAUACUGUGAACUCAUACAAUGAAAAGAUGAUUGAUUGUCUGGGAUUUCUAAGGGAAAGAUGGUUGUGAUAGACGGUAAGUAAACUACGCUACAAAUUAUGAACCACUAAACCGCUUCUGUAGAAGAACAAUUCUGCUGACUUAAAGUUGGGAACAUCUGUUGGUUUAGCUCAGGGAUUGUACAGUUUAGUUUUUAGUUUUAUGAUAUCUGUGAACAACGAUCUAAAUGACGACCGCAAAAAGUAUUUGAUAUGCGAGAUUUUAUUCUUCAUAUGUACACGGACACCUUGGUGCAGGUUGCACAAUAGAUUUUCAUCAGGUAUAUAAGAGUUUUGACCAAUCAGGUUGCGCAGUAGAUUUUUUCAUUAGGUAAUAAAAGAGUUUUGACCAUACUUAAAAAAAGACCAAAUGUGCCCAAGCAUCCAUUGGUAGUUGAAUCUAUGUCACUUCAGAAGUCAGAACUGCUAGCAACAUCAGCUACCCAUGUGGCCAUGUCAAGAGGGUGUAGAGCAUUCAGGCCUUCCCAUCCCUCCACAAGCCGUUGGUGAUCCUCAUCGAUCAGGAAAUGCUUGUGGUGUUGCCUCUUCACUUUGUCCUUCAAUAUAACAAUGUCAGUCAAGUGGUCAUAGACCUGACAGACCAAGGCCAUGGUGCGGAUCCAAGUGAUAAUGCUGCUUGGGCAGGUAAGAGGAAUGAGUGGACUCCGGCAAUGUGGGUAAACAGAGGAAGCGCAUAAUGUCUGAUUGAGAAAUUUGAAGAAAGAUAUCCAGACACCUAAUCAAACUGUUUUCAUGGGCUGUACUGGACCGAAAAUCAAAGAACUUAAUCAUGUUCAAUUCAAGGCGCACGAAACUUCUUUUGUCAAAAGAAGAUCCUGAAAGCAUUCGCCACCUGUUGUUUCAAUGUUGUGCUGCUAGAAGAUUUGGCUGCUUAAAUCUGAUAUCCUGAUCCGCUCAGUUGGCACUAACUUUGAAUCAGUUGCAUUUGGAUUCAGGAUUCAGAGUCGAGACAAGGUGGCAUUUCGAUGCAGUAACUAGCAAGGACCAUUUGAGUAACUUCUCAAACCUAACAUGAUAUUAAUUUUUAUUUCAACUAGGGUUCUUUGGAUGACACUACAUAAGCUAAAUUAUAGCACUUUUAAUAAAAAAGAAUUUGUUGAUCUAAAAGAAAAUUCAGACACUAAUUUUUGCUUAAGGAAAAUACAUUCCCCAGACACUCCCUUGCAGAACUUUUCAUUGGACUCAGUCUAGCUAUGAGAUUUAUCAUCUCUGCUUCAAACUUUCAAGCACUGCCAUUGAAAAGGUUCCAAUCAUGGACAUCAAAGUUCAUAACCGCAAGUCUGAAAACCUCUGACAUUGGUAAGCAUCCUGCUUCUUCUGCAGGUACUGCUGAUCCAGCUGCAACCGCCUGGGUGCUCUCACUCAAGGGGCUGGAAUAAAAAUGACAAAAGAAUAAAUCACUCGAGGAGCAGAACCUGUAGAACUGGACAAUUAUGCAGCAGAAACAUAUUAUCAGAUCCCCUACAACAUAAAAAUCAAGGCAUCAAUAAUUGUAGGUUUGUGUCGUGAACUUGGAUAUGGAAGUCCAUACUACUUUUGCUUACUUUCACUCAGAUCUAAUACUACUAUCUUCAUAUUAUAUGUGAUGCAUCAUCAUACUGUUUUACCUGCAUUUGAACUGAAAAAUCUAGUUUUGAUAUUCUGUCUUGCUGUACUACUACAAUUGCAUUUGAAGAGGCUCGGCCUAGGCAGUAAAACUGAAGGAACUACCGGAGCACAACAUGCUGCUUUUCAUCUGGAUUUCAACUGAAUAUUCGAUUUUGUGUUCUAGAAAAAAGCCUGAAAAGUCUUUUUUUUUCACAUUUUGGUUACACCAGUAACCACACCAGUAUGAUAGGCCAACUGCAUUCAACGUCCUAGCCUAGACAAAGAACUGAAAGAAAGAUCUGAGCCUGACAGGGUAGCCAUACUGUUUAGAUACAAAGUCAAGGGAUAAUUGUUAUUAUGUAAAAUCAUUAUUGACCCUCACUCAAAACAUGUCACUAAAAAUUAAAUUUAUGCAAGGAAAUAUUGUGUUAAAUAAGUUGUACUUCUCCUAACACAUCAUUAGAUAGUAAUCAAAUCAUACAAAGAGCAGCAAAUGGCACUAAGCAGUACUGGCUGAGAUGCACAAUCUGAAUAACAUUUUGUACCAUAUAAAGUAAAAAACAUAAUAGAAACGUUUUGUCAAAAAAUUCCCAUUAACCAGAAGAAGUAUGUGAUAGUGAUAUGCUGAGCUUACUUUAUCAAAAGUGGCUCAUAUGCGGUGAUAACUACAUCUGUAGCUGCAUUCUUCAGACGUAAGUUUGCCAAGUAAACCUGCAAAGGUAAUGCAAGACUCCUCAGUUUAAAAGGCCAAAUUAACUGAUUAACCAUACUAACCAAGGAAUUGUGUAUCUGGUAAAAAAACCAAGGAAUUGUGUACUAACUCGAACAAUGUUCUGUGCUUCUCUGCCUUGUCUCCCUUUUGAAACUGCCUACAGAAAUGACGAAUACCAGGCAUGAGAUUUAAAAGUGCAUUUUAUUCACUUUUUUUUGACCGAAAAACUGUAGGAGAGAUUCCGACAGUAUAUAUAUAAUUAUAGAAAAAAGUUCAUAAUUACAACACGCGGCGAUUUUAUUCACUCAUCGCCCAUUCAGAGCUAAGCGCCCACCAUAUAAAUGGAUACCAACGAACUGAAGUAGGAGUAUCAAAUUAAUGAGGCUGAGCUGUGGAAGCCGACUGGUGCCAUGGAGCUUGGAAGCUGCCAUCUCAUGCCAGGUCAUCAGAGAAGAAGCAACAUUUUAUCCUUUUUGUUUUCCUUUUGUUUUUUCGAUCAGACCUAGUUUGUUUCUUUGUGGUUGCAGCCAUGUUGCUAGUUUGAUUGCACUAACCAAUAACCAUUGGUGGCUUUGGUUCUGCAAUGAUGUAAUCUUUGUGCAAUUUCUGUGUGUUCCCUAGAACACAACAAGAAGUGCAAUUAGGUGUGUACUCUAGAAACAAAGAAGUGUCGAAGUUAAUUUAAUCAUGAUGCACAUUCCGACAAUGUUUCAUAAAUCCUAAUAUUUACUUGAUCAUCAGUUCUCUCACAAUGAGAGUACUAUGUCUCCCACUAAGUCAUCCCAUUACCUUUUUAUUGAAGAAAUAAGCAUAUGCAAGUUAACUUGUACCAAAGGGCAAAGGGACAGGAACCAUGUAAGAAUGUUAAACCUUCCCGCAAUACGAACAACACAACCAACGACAAAUGAUGUUCAGACAACGAAAAUCCCUUGUUGUUUGUUUUCAAGGAUGGAUGGCAAUGUCCACUGAAAAGUACUCCAUCUCUGUAAUGUGCAGUACUAGUCUAAAGUAUGGUUUGGGCCGACUUAAUGAUGCUAUCAUAUCCAGGGAAGCCCAGGUGAAAAACUGAAAACUAAUUGACUGGACAUCGACUGAAGACAAGGAGGAGGGUAAUCUGGAUAUGCACAUGACAAUUAGCUCACCAGCUUGCCAAUUGCAGUUCCAGCCACUGCAGAUGCUUCUCCGUCCCGCAGACCAGCUAGCUGAACCGUCCCAGAGUGCUCGAUCACCUAGCAGACAAGCAAGAAAUCAACAUACCCCUCCCCUUAAUGCAUCUUGCUCGUUGGCGUAUCUAGUUCCAUGAGGAAGUUAACAACAAUGAAAUGCACGUGAAAUAGAAAGGGAGUACAUUUGUUGUUGCCGGGGCCAAAUGCCAAAGCACAUACUAGUAAGAAUUGGUGCUAAAACGAGAUUUAUAUGGCCAAGUGGCCAACGGCACACUGAAGCCAAGAUGCUGAUAAUAUUACCAUGUCAUCCCCCGCAUCUUGCUCGUUGGCAACGUCACGCAGGAACCAGAGCGCGCUGCCGCCGUCCUCCACCUCGCCCUUGAGGUCGAGCAGCUCGAAGAUGAGGCUCUCGUCACGGGCAGGAUCAACGAAAACUUCCUGGGUAGUAAGCAGCAGAGUCACUCACAUCGAUCACUAUCAGAACGAUUCUAACAAGACCGGAAGUGAGGAAUUGGACGAACCUGAUGGUCGGGGACCUCGCGAAUGUUGCUCACAUCCUGACCAUAAACCAAACCAAAACGGCGUAAGCACGAGCGAGUGGAGGACAGGAGGAGGAGCACGGCUGCAAGGGAUGCGUGUAGUAGGAGGAGACAGGGCGGGCGUGUACCUGGAACCGGAAGGGGAAGGAGCUGGAGAUGGCGCCGCCGAACAGGGGCCGCCUGGUGCUGCUCUCGACGGCCAUCGUCACUCGGAUUCUUGCGACUAAAGCGUAGAAGGGGCUGGGGGUUUCGGGUGGGCGAGACGAGAGGGCCGGGCGAGUUCCCGAUCCGAGCGACAGUUUUUAUAGGCGGCCGAGAGGAGGGGAAGCGAGCUCGCCGCGCGUCGAUUUCACGCACGCCACCGCGGCAACCUUUCGUGCGUCAAUGCUACGCCGAGUUUGGCCGUUCUCCUUCCUUCCUGCACGCAGUAACAUCGUGGGCCAGGACCAUGUCGUUGGGUCCAUCCAAAGUGGCUGGCACCAUACGGCAUGUGCGCAAGUGCAACGGCAUGUGCGCAAGUGCAACGUCCCCUUGUUAUUUUUAGGCCUCCGGAGUCCGGAGUCCGGAGCCUAUCUAAUAUACGUUGUCUUAGAGCAUUUCCAACCGUCCCCCCUAAAGGCCUCCCUAAACGGGUUUGGGAGGCGUCUAAAAUCUGACCCAGCCGGUCUCAUCAAUUUGUUUUUUUAUCCGGCACGGUUCAGAAAGUUAGCCGGCACCCUCAGGCCGAACCCAACCCACGGGGGGCGAGCGGGGGUGCCGGCUAUGGCGCAAAAUCACGCGGGUAAGCACUGUCAGCGGCACAACCCCAAGAACAAACCCUAUUUGCGCCAAAUCGCCGACUUCCACCCCGAAUCGACAACUUCCGCCCCAAAUCACCGACGGAACCACCCCUCUCACCGACGAUUUCCACCCCAGAACUGCCGCCGCAUAGAUCUUCCUUUGCUGGCACAGUUCCAGUUCCGCUGUUCGCCGCCGGCCAGUUCCAGCACCGCGUCGGUGCCCACCCAGCGGCCACCUCUUCGCUUCUUGCUGUCAAGGUGUUCGGUGAUUUGCCAAGGCCAUGGAUUCGGACGACGAAGAAAUGCUCGCCACGCUUUUUGACGAGGAAGUCGCCACUGCCGAUGAUGCUACCUCCGGCGGCGAACAGGAGCAUCAACUCAUCGUCUUGUCGCUUCUUGCCCUCAUCGCCGAAGAUGCAGAGCGGCCGGGAAGGAGAGGAUCGAGGAAGGGCCGCCGCAAGAGCAAGGCCAGGCAAAGGAUGGAAGGCUACUGCAUAUUGUACGCCGACUACUUCGCCGAUGAUCCAUUGCACAACGAUGUGAUCUUUCGGCGCCGAUUCGGAAUGUCUCGGAAGCUUUUUUUGAAGAUCGUCGAGUACCUCUGAGAGUACAACGAUUACUUCAAAUUGAAGAGGGACGCCGUCGGCACACUCGGUUUCACAUCAAUUCAGAAAUGCACGGUAUCCCUUCGUUUGCUUGCUUAUGGAAUUCCUACCGAUACACAUGAUGAUUACCUCCGCAUGGCCAAGUCCAUGGCCAUCAAUUGCAUGUACAGGUUCUAUAGGGCAAUUGUGGUGGUGUUUGGAGAGCAGUACUUGAGGACACCCACUGCAGAAGACACAGCUCGGAUCAUGGCACAUAAUGCAGAAAGAGGAUUCCCAGGUAUGCUUGGCAGCAUCGACUGUAUGCAUUGGUCAUGAAAGAACUGUCCAUUUGCACACCAGGCAUGUAUAAAAGCCACAAAGGAUUAUGCAGUGUGGUGCUUGAGGCGGUGGCCGAUCAGGAUCUGUGGAUUUGGCAUGCCUUCUUCGGUAUGGCAGGAUCGCAUAAUGACAUCAAUGUGCUGCAAUGCUUGAAUGUGUUUGCCAAGCUUGUUGAAGGCACUGCUCCUCCGGUGAAUUAUGAGAUGGCCAUGUGUACAACAUGGGAUACUACCUGGCAGAUGGCAUCUGUCCAAGAUGGUCGACCUUUGUGAAGACAAUCUCAAACGCACCCACAGGAGGAGCAAGAUCUUGGUUUGCGAUGCAACAGGAAGCAUGCAGGAAGGAUGUCGAGCGAGCAUCUGGCGUGUUGCAGGCUCAAUUUGCCAACGUCCGGUACCCUGCUCUCACUUGGUCGAAAGAUCAGAUGUGGGAGGUCAUGACUGCCUGUGUGAUCAUGCACAACAUGAUCAUCGAGAGCGAGCGGGAAUGUCCGGUGUUUGACACUGAACUGUAUGAAUGGAUGGAUCCUCUAGCCAAUGUCAAUCACCAGGUGCCGGCCGCCUUUGCUACUUUCCUCGCCCGGCGGCAAGAAAUUCGAUACGUCGGUACUCAUCAGCAGCUUCAAGAUGAUCUGGUCGAGCAUUUGUGGAGGCUCUGAGGAAACGUCUAGUUUUUCUUAUUUAUUUGCUUGAAUUUGAUUAAAUUUGUUUGAAAUGUGAUUCAAAACUUAUCAAAUAACGUGCUUGUUUCAAUUUGCAAUAUUUGUAAAAUUGGUUUGGGAAGGCGUUUGGGGGCGCCGGCUGGGAACCGGUUAGACCUUAAAAACAAAUUCUAGCCGGUGCCCCCCAUACGACCUAAAAAAGUGGUAGGCCGGAUGCGAAAUGGGGGGGAUGGCUGGAGUUGCUCUUAGGCCAUCCCCAACGGGGCGGCCCAUUUUGUCCGUUUGGGCAAAACGGACACCAAAAUUCGCUUUUUGGGCCGGACAUGACCCAUUUCUAACCCAGGCGGAUGGUCAUUUUUGCACUGGGCUCGUCCGCACCUGCCACCUUUUUCCUCCCCUGGCCCGCAUGUCCAUGAGUAAUAAAGCGGACCAAAUGGGUGGCCUCGCUGGGGCAGUGGCAGACCCAAAAGUGAAUUGGACAAUCCGUUUGGCCCAAACAGACACAAAAUGGGUCCGUCUUGCGCGGUCCGGUCGGGCCUAAACGUACAAAACGUGCCUCCCAGCGGGACGACCCAUUUGAUCGGAGGUCCGGAUUUUGAUUCGGUUGGACACAUAUCCGUCCCAAAUUUUGGCCGGGUUUGCGUUAACCCAGACCAUGCGCGGAGAGCCGUCGCGUCCGCCCUAGUGUCAUAGGGACCCGCCCGUUAGCCACCCAACACAAAGUCGUCUCAUCCCCAUUUCCAUCUCCACAUCCCGACUCCUGCCCCCAUCCACGCCUCCGCCUCCGCAUGUCUCGCCAGUCUCCCUCGCCGGCACAACCGAGUUCUCCCGACGGCCUUCUACUCGCCGCCGCCGCCGUGCCCGAGUUGAGCAUCGUAGCGCCCGCCAUGGCCGACAACGAUGGCGAGUUCUUCUUCAACUACUUCCUCGACACCUCGUCCGAUGAGGACUCUGACGGCGAGGCCGAAUUGCUGGUGAGUGCAGCUCUCUUCUUCCAUCGGCAGAACCAGAUCGAGCGUCCAAUUCGUAGGGGUUCGAUUAGGGGGCACAGGGCUGCGCUAGACCGUAACAAAGAGGCCGACCAUGUUCUUCUUUUCAAUGAUUACUUUCAUCGCACCGACUCUGUGUUUCUUGCCCAUCUAUUCCGUCGUCGUUUUCGCAUGAGGAGGCCGUUGUUUAGGCGUCUCAUGCAAGGGGUGGCCGGAUCUGAUGAUUACUUCAUAUGCAAGCCGGACGCUACCGGCAAGGUUGGCUUCUCCGCGUAUCAGAAAUGCACGGCCGCGAUCCGGAUGCUGUCCUAUGGAGUUCCCAGCGACAAUAUUGAUGAGUAUUUGCGCAUGAGCGAGACCACAUGCUUUGAGUCAAUGUAUAGAUUCUGCACCACUGUGGUUCAAGUGUUUGGUUCUCAAUACCUGAGGGCACUGACGACUGCGGACACAGCACACUUUUUGUCGAUCAAUGAGUCCAGGGGGUUUCCUGGGAUACUAGGAAGCAUCGAUUGUAUGCAUUGAGAGUGGCAGGGUGCAUACAAAGGCCAUACCGGAGGAUGCACCGUGAUUCUUGAGAUCGUUGCAUCUCAUGAUCUUUGGAUUUGGCAAUCUUUCUUCGGCAUGGCGGGCUCUCACAAUGGCAUCAACGUGCUUCAACGUUCCCCGGUCUUCUCUAGGCUUGCGGAAGGCCAAGCUCCGGUGGUGAACUAUGAGAUCAAUGGCCACCAGUACAACAAGGGGUAUUACCUAGCCGACGGCAUUUACCCUGAUUGGUCGACAAUUGUGAAGACUAUCCACAGGCCGCAAGGAGAGAAAAUAUGCAGAUUUGCUAAAGAACAGAGAGUGCUAGGAAGGAUGUUGAGCGGGCAUUGGAGUGCUACAAGCUCUUUGAGCGAUUGUUCUGUCAUCCUGCAAGUCAGCCUGGGCAUUCGGUUUAACCGAGCCGAUUGGUUCGGUUCUUCGGGUUUUCAGAAAUUUCGGUUCUUCAAAAAUCUUGACCGAUCGGUUCCUGAGAAAAUUAGGACCGAAAUAUUUUAGGAGCGAAACUUCGGUUCGGUUCUCGGUUAUAACCGAACAAAACCGAAUGAACCACGGGCAACACGUGAGAAACCAAAUUGUGAAGAAAAAGUUGCCAUACUGACAGCUGGUCCUCUCGUAAACGAAAGGAUAGACGGAGAGGAGAGUCAGGUCGAUGGCGAUCCAUGGAGGCGGUGGCCGGUCAGGCCGGAGCGACGCAUUAUGGCGAGCUGGCGUGAUGAUUGGAAGGCUGGCGCCCUGGCGGCCAGGGUUGUAGCUGGGAAUUCGGGAGAGACAGCGCUACAGCCUACAGGCAGAUCGAUCAGGAUAAAACCAGUCGUUUUUUCUUAUGCGCUUGGUCUAGUGGGCUGCGAGCCUGGGACGAGCUGUCCUUGUGUAGACAUGCGGUUGGGCCAGGACUUGGCCGGCUGAAGCCCAGGGCGAUGCGUGCAACGGAGUACGUGAACAGGCAGGAGGCUAUUCUGAUUCUCAAAAAAAAAAAAAGGCAGGAGGCUAUUCUCUUGACUGUUGUUACGAAUAAUUGUUCUUCGGGUUUUCUCGGCUAACCGAGGGCAGGAACCAAACUACCCGUAAAAACAUGUUUCAGACCGAAAAUUUAAACGAUUUCGGUUUUCGAUUUUUCGGUCAACGGUUUCGAUUUCUCGGUUUUUAUGCCCACCCUGACCUGCAAGAACAUGGGAUGUGGAGGUCAUGACGAGGUGAUGACUGCUUUUGUGAUCAUGCACAACAUGAUUGUCGAGAACGAGCGAGAUGAUUCCUGAUCAAGAGUGGGAUUUCCUCGGUGAUUUGGUUGAACCCCAACUUGGACCGGCAUCUUUCCAACAGUUCUUCUAUACUCAUCAUGAAAUUCGGGAUCGGACAACUCACAACCAACUCCAAAAUGGUUAAGCAUUUGCGGCAGCAUGUUGGAAAUCAGUAGUGGAUUUCCUAUUUAUUUUAAUGUUUGAACUAUAUUUGUUUAUUUGCAUUAUUUGUAUUGGAUGAUUUCUAAUAAUUCCGAACAUUUGGUUUGUAUUGUUUGGAUGAUUUGCAAUAAUUCCGAACGGUUGUUGUUUUAAUUUUUGGUGUAUUAAAUUUUUAUCAAAUGGUCACAAAUGGGUGGCGCGGUCCAAUCCAAACAGAUGAAGGCCGGACUGGGGCCUUUUUCUGUCCGUCCCGCCACCCAAACCGGACAUAAAAAGCGGUUCGUUUGGGUCGCCCCGCUGGAGUUGCCCUAAGAGCAUCUCCAGCCGGCGGCCCUAAAGGCCCCGCAAACCAAAUUUGGGGGCGCUGACGCCCAAAAGUACCCAGACGAACCCCUCAUUCUCAAAAUUUAGCCGGCUCGGCCCAAUGAAUUAGCCGGCGCCCCAGGCCAAACCCAACCCACGGGGAGGCGAGCGGGGGCGCCGGUGAAGCGUUUUAUGGCUGCGGCCUGCACUGUCAGACGCCAUUUAUCGCCCUCACCGGCUUCGCCUCAGCUUCCCAGGCGAGUUAUGGCAGUCGCCAAGUCAAACCGUCGUCUUGUCUCGUCGGCUUCCACGCGGCACGCCCCCACACAUUCCCAACCAGAAGGAGGCGGAGCAGCGCCACCGCCUCUGCUACACCGCCUCCAAGGCCAAAUUCCAACCGUGGCUCGACGAGGAGAACUGGCAACGCCAUGGGGGACGGGACGGCUGGAGAUGCUCUAAAAUUCAUGUUCACUCAAACCUCUGUAUAUUCUCAAAAAAAAAAACUCAAACCUCUGUGUUAGAGGAAAAAGUUUUUGCAUACCACCAUACAAUAUCCCUUGUCACAAAAAAAAAACCAUACAAUGUCCCAUUUAUCCCUUUUAUGUUCACUCAAAACCUCUGUUUUCUUCUCAAUGCAAUCGACAGCAUUAAGAAUACAGCCAGGAGUUCCAAACAAGUGAAUCUAGCUAAGUAGAUCCCAAAAAUACUGCAGAAGGGGACGAGCCUUUGUUUCAGCCCUUCGGAGGCUCGGUCUCCGCUCUAUGUAGACAGCCAAACAGGAGUUGUCGAAGCAGAUUGAAAACACGACAUGGAAGAGGAAUUACUCAAUCCUCCUCUUCAUCCUGUUCCUCUUCAUCAUCAUCAUCAUCGGACCCCUGGAAAAGUUGAAAGAGAAUGAUGAAUACAGAUACACAGGGACGGAGCCAGAAAAUCGGCAUGAGGGAGGCGAGAAAAAUCAAAGCUGCAAAACCGAACUGCAUAAUAGAUACUCCUAUCAAUAAUAAAUGUUUCGGAUUUUGUACUAAAUCUUAGACACUUAUUAUGGAUCGAAGGAAAUAUGUAGUCUUGAUAUCCAAUAUAUAUAGAUAGCAUAGCAAAUAGAGUCAAUUCUAAAUAAUAAAAAUAUAACUGCAAUUGAAGAACCCAAUCAAUUUUCUAAUCUGAACACAGUUUGGCAGUUUGUUUGUUCUAAUCGAUUUUCUAAUCUGAGCACAAUCGAUCGAAUGGAUCAAUAGCCAAUCGGGCUUUUGCUGGGCCGUUAGGCACAAAUAUGCAGUCCCAGAUGGGUAGGGCCUACAGAGGGGCUUAGGGGGCGGAGUUACAGGCCCAACUACUUUUUUCAUUUCAUCCAAUGGCCGAUCGUUUUUGCGCCCCCCCCCCCCCCCACCCCCCGCUUCCUCGAGAAAAAAAAGAUAUCACCAGCUCAACCUCAGUUCCCUCAAAGAAUCUAGAGAGCAUAAAAGCCUUAAAGUGUUGCUAAAAAAAAAUCCUCAAAGCAAGAGCAGUAUAGACGCAGCACUCUUUAGCAGUUUUAGCUUGGGAUUGCAGCAGCUGUAAUGAUGCUCCAUGUUGUGGUUAACCAAUGCUCAUAGAAACAGAAAAUAUGUAUCGAGAAGCCACAAAUGUCAUUAACUUUUUAAGUCAGGUAUAACAAAAAAUGAUGAUAAAAACAGAAAAUAUGUAUCGAGAAGCCACAAAUAUCAUCAGGAUAACUAAGGGAGCUAUGCAUAAUUGCAUCAGUAUGGAUAUUAAACACCAUUGCAGGACUAUAAACAUGUUGUGCAAUAUGUAUAUGGAAUUGCAGGUAAAGAUAAUAUGAUACCUCUUCGUCUUCCUCCUCAUCUAGUACAAAUUCUUCUUCAGCCUCCUGCAAUAAGAGGUUUGAGAGGAAAUGAUACAAAGAUCCAAAAUAGGAAAUAAUAAGUCCAAAUAAAUAAGCCACUUAGGCACUUAUAUAACAAUAGAAGCACUAACAUCGUUGAAAUAUUUCAAAGGAUUAGGCCACAACUCUUCUUUGAUGAUAUCUGUCACCUGCGUAAUUGAAAUUCUCAGCUAAUAUACUCAACGGGGAAGAAUUAAAAUUACUAAAUUUUGCUGUUCUGUCAACCACGCGGAUUCACAGAGACAAAACCUCGGAUCGAAUGAAAUAAGUUUAGCAGGAGCAACAGCAUAGGACAGACGAGCAAUCCACAAUACCUCAUCCACUCCGUCAACAGAACUUUUGUUCUUUGCAUCAUUGAACCAAGUGAAGAAACUGCAAAAGAAGAGACAAGAAAAAAAACAAGUCAUCUUCACAAAUUUCUAAAUUGCAACUCAAGUGGAAUAAGCACAUAUUACCAUGCUGGGAAAAACAAUAACUGCCGACAGAGCAGAAAAAAAAAAGAAAAGAACAUGAAAGAAAAGGGAAAAAGAGACCACAAUACUUUAUUGCACUCGCACUCCUGCAGUGAAGCACAUGUAUUUUGGCUACUCGGCAGUCUCAAUGCUUAUCAGCAACAAAUCACAGCAAUGUUGCCCAUCAUAUCUCAUGGCAGAGCUGGGCUGGCUACUUUUGGUUUAUAAAUUGUUAAUGUUUACCUAGUAUUGGCACUGAAACUGAGCCACAAACUCUAACAAUCUACUCCGUACAAAACAAAUGCUAAAUAUCAAGAAAAGAGUCCAUGUUUAUGCUUAUCAUGGGCAAAUUGGUACAGACCUAGCUUAUGAUAUAACACAAAAUGAUGCUAAAGCAGUCCGUAGGUAUGAAUGAAAACCAAAACAGAAUUAUUAAUGAAAUGAUAAAAUCACAAUGAAGUUACAAAAACCAAUACAGUUUCUUUGUACAUAUAUGUUGAUUGAGUUAUUCAUUAGUUUUUAAAAAACUUUGUAAUCAUGAUGCCUGUACUGCGGUGUACUGGUCUUGAAUGUCAGAGUUGAUGCAACCUAGAUCUACAAAUGAUCUAGCAAACCAAACAAGAUUACAUACGCACCAACAAGGGUCUAUGCUUUUAAUGAUAACUGUAGCAGUACAUAUAUAUGCCUCAUAAGAAACACAAACAUAUAUAUUCAUUAAGAACAUGCUGAUAUGAAAAAAAAGGAGAGCACAAUAACGUGUAUCUUUAAACAAGUUGAUGAAAACUAAACCACCUUUUAAAGUUCUUUAAAAUUUUACUGUGAAACUUAAAACCAAUUGUCGUCCAAAUAAGGAAUUUUGUGUGUAUGUGUGUGCAUUGCGAAAAACUGUUUGUGCCCAUGCCAAGGUAUUACUCACAAAAAUGAUGUAUUGAGUAGAAAGAUGCAACUGAAUGAAGAUGCACAAUAUGGUUAUGAUUUAUAUCAAGUAUGAGAACUAAGCUUUACCUGUAAAUGAAAACAAGCACAACAAACUAGUAUGAUUCAUUACUUGAUUAUAUAACUAAUAGCCAAACUAAGUUACUACUUCAAGUAGGAAAAAAAAAGAAUUGUGAAAAAACAUAGAAACUAGCAAACCUCUCAUCAAUCAAUAGUCGUUUGCUCCCAUCUUUCGUGUAAGCCUUUCCAUUGACAAUAUCCUUGAUGUAUCAUUAGAAAAUUUAUUAGAUCUGAUUUUUUCCUACCAGAAAAAUUGUAACUGAAGUGCUAAUAGUGAUCGAUGAGGCACAGUACCAUUCCUGUCUUCCAAUUGAUGGAGCUAGACUUUACAGUUAUUUUUCCAUGCUCACUGAACGUACAUGAUUUUGUAAGCUUUGUAUCUUCAAAAUAUGGAUUAGGAGAGAAUGUCUGCCGGUUCAAGUUAAUAACAUGUGAGCAAAGGGAAAGAAAUAAGGAAAUCAAAGCCUGCAGACGCAAAAGAAGCUUACAAGAGUAAUGGAGUAGCCCGAUUUCCCAUCUUUAAACUCAUCCACAUCGAUGGACUCCAAGUGCUUGAAUAUCUACAAGGGAAAAAAAUAAAGCUUGAUGAAAUCGUACAAGUAAUAUAUUCCAACUCGGCAGUUGUUCCACAGAAAUGCUUAGCAUAGCAAUGUUGUAUUUUUAUAACCAAAUCCUACUUUUGAUACACUAGCAUAAUACCUGUGGAUUGCUAAGGAUAAGAAAAAUCUAUAAGCAUGCUUAAGAGUUAAGGCGAUCUUUAUGCCGUUCAUGCCGCCACCAAUUGAUAUUUAUAGGACUGAAGAAAUACUAAAAGUUAAAAAGAAUGCGCCAAUGGUAUACUUUUCCUACAAAACAAGGUACCUUUUGAUCAUCUUCAGUUAGAAGUUCACCAAGCUUAGGAUGGCUAAGAAACUGCAUGGUGAAUCCAUAAAAUCAGAAAGGAUGAGAUUAUAUCAAUCAGCAAUUUCAGCAAACAAACAGAUGAAUAUAAAGCAUCAUAGAACAAAUUACAAACCGCGGUCAGCCAAAAGUCUGGAAUUUUCCUGAUGAGUUCAUUCCGUCGGGCAUAGACUGGUCUGAGAAUUUCAUUGUAUUUCUGAUCCACCUCCAGAACUUUAUCACUUGCUUCCUCGUUAACCUACAAUAAAUGGUUGCUAUGAGCCUGGCUAUUAGCUGACUGCCUAGUAGUAUAAUUGUGUUCCAGCACUUCGGUUGAAUUUAGCUUGCACUUACAAAUAUGUUCUUGUCAAUGUAGACAUUCAUAUACUGGUUUUGUUUCAAAAUGACAAACUAUUAAACCGAAAGACCACUUAGCUAGGAGGUAAAGUGCCUUACCCUAUGCAUCCUAGGUGUUAAGUGUUUCAUCAUUAUCUGACACACGGAAUACAUAAUUGUGAUCUUUUCGCGAAGUUCAAUAACAGAACUAUGACACAAAAUUUAACAUGAUGGAGCAAUUAUUAAGCUAAAAAAGCCUGACAUAAGAUGAUCUGUAACAUUGUGGAUUGGAAGAACCAUCAAAUAUGUGUAUAGAAGGCAAGGCGCAUAACAAGGCGUUAGCAUUUUCUCACUCUGAAGGAAAUUAGCUUGUAUUGGUCUGAGAGGGCAUUGGGGGAGGGGCAUUUAGCAGGCAUUUCUGCGAUUACUUUUCCAACAACACUUCAAUUGAUUGUUCAAUUCAUCAUGUGCUGCAAUAAUGGGUUUCCUAUAGCGCUGUCACCAUAUUUUCAGGCUACCAGACCACCAAGUUGGUUCUAAAAUAAACAAUUGCAAUUGCCAAUUGCCACACUCCCUGUUCCCUAGGAAUCUCAGAUUGCCCACAAGCAUUUAACUGCAAUCAAGAUUUUUUGUAAAUGUUUACAAUCUAGUGGGCAUAAGCUCAGGAGUGACUAGUGAGUGAUUUGAAAUUAAGAACAGACACAGGGCACAAUUCUGCAGUAGCACAAGCGAACACUCAAAUCCAACGUUCAGCCACAAGUACCCAAAUUAGACUCCUCCCGAUGGCACAUCCAAAUCGGUAAGUCACAGAGAAACCAGCUCACACAUCACGAAAUCGGGACUCGGGGAUUAUUCUGCUACUCCUAAAUUCCAAGCAGCCUCUGUGCAAAAUAUCCCGAAAACGGAAAAACGACACCGAAUCUAAUGCCGGAGCAACCAAAGCGUACCACAACAGCUGUCCGCUGGCGAGAAUCUCUUGAGAAGCGAAGCGACUCACCCUCUCGAUCUCGUCCUGGAUAUCAUGGAGCUUCUCGACGGAGAGAAAGAGGUCCUUGUCGAUGUCAUCGCCCUCCUCCUCCUCGUCGAUCCUCGGUCUCUUCCCCUUCUGCUCCGGCGUCGCCAUCUCGAUAAGCCCUUGGCGAGCUCUAGGGUUUUAGCAAGCUUUUCCGGGGAGGCUGGCUGGGCUGCCUCUGUGGUCUGUGGGUGAGGGAGAUUCGCGCCGUGGUCUUUGACUUCUACAUUGUGUCAUUGUAGUUCGGCCUUAUCUUAUGGGCCGAGUGUUUGCGGUUGGGCCUCAUUGUCGACCCAGGAGGCCACACAUGACGACUGGCCUUUUUUUUUUAGGGAAAACACAUGACGACUGGCCUUCUACUCCUCCCGAACACUAAUGUGUUCCUUUAUCUCUCUAAAAAACACUAAUGUAUUCCUUUAAAUCCUCUCAAAAAAAACUAUGUAUUCCUUUAAUUGCCCUAAAACACCUUAUGUAUUCCUUUUAUUUCGUCGGUUAAUAAACUUUUUCAGAGACUUGGUCAAAACAAAGUUUUUCAGAGCUAAUCAUUUAGUACUCCCUCCGGUCAUAAUUACUUGUCGAAAUAUUACAUGUAUCUAGACAUUUUUUACACAUAGAUACAUCCAUAUUUGGGCAAAUUUGAGACAAGUAAUAUCGAUCGGAGGGAGUAGUAAAAUUUGGAGAGUAUUCUCAAAAUCCUCCCAAACAGUUAUGUACUUCGUAUUUCCUUUAAUUUCAUUGGUUAAUAAAGUUUGGACGAGUAUUCUCAACAAAAAGAAAAGGACAAUGGAUGGAGUCAUGGAGCAACCCUAACAGCGGAGCAGCUAAUGUAUCUAUAACAAUAUAUUAAAUUGGAGUUAGUGGUGAUGGUACGGACUUUGCAGUACGUCCUCACCCCUCCCCUUCUCGCGAGUCGCAAUCCGAUCCGAUCUCCAUUGAGCUAGCCCGCACGAGGGCUUCUUCCCCUUCGCAACCCGCAACAACCAACAAGGCUCCCCCUCCUGCAUAUCCCCUCAUGGCUCAUCUCCUCACCCAAAUCAUGCUCCUCUGCAUCCGCCCAUCUUCCUCCCCAUGCCACUGCCGCACAUGCACCUCCUCCACCCG
Molecule: long non-coding RNA, 48009 nt
Filed under: Brachypodium distachyon (stiff brome)
Lineage: Eukaryota; Viridiplantae; Streptophyta; Magnoliopsida; Poales; Poaceae
Description: long non-coding RNA (BDIS_LNC005827)
Rfam family: MIR1120/MIR1122 microRNA precursor family (bases 47455-47579)
Source: RNAcentral